CAACGCACAAGUUUGAUAAUCUGCUGAGUACAAGCGGCGGCUAAGAAAAAGAAAAAACAAAACAAGAACUGAAGCCGUCGUUUUCUCCGGAGGAAAAAGAACGGAGCCUUUGCUUCUUGCCUUCUAUCCAAAAAUUCACGAAACAAAACUGCUUCGUUGCUAAGUACUAGAGGUGGCAAAUCAACCCACUUAACUAAAUUUACCCAUACCCGUCCAUGAAUAGAUGAGUAUGGAUAUCUUAAAUUUUUAUAUAUGGGUAUAAAUGGGUUACCCAAUAAUACCCAUUUAAUAAAUGGGUAUUAUUGGGUAACCCAUCAAACCCAAUUAACCCAUUUAGAAUUCUCUUCCCCUCAAGUCUCUUCUUUUCCCCCACCUUUUUUUUUCAAAUUUUUCAUUUUGUCAUGAUGUUAACUACUUUUGUUUCAUUAUUAUUAUUAUUAUUAUUUGUUGGUUUUAUUUUAUUAUUUUAUUUUCUCUUAGUUUGUUAACUUGCUCAUUUUUUAGCAUUACCAAUUUAUGAUAAAUUUUAGCCUAUUUUCUUAUCUUUAUAAAAUGAAAUUUUAAAUUUAUAUAUGAAAAAAAUGUUAGGGGUUCAAAAUUUUUGGAUUAAGUUUUUAUAUUAAUUUUUAUAGUACUUAGUUCAAAUUUUUAUAUUCUUAUUAUUCAAUUAUUAAAUAAUAGGUAAUUUUGUGACAUAGAAUAUAAAUGAAAAAAAAUUGGUAAUUAAGUUUAUUGAACAAUAUAAGUAAAUAUUUAAAACUAAUGAUGGGUACAAAGAGUGGUAUAAAUUGAUAACUUAGUUUGCAAAAAUGAAUUUAAAUGAGUUUACAAAAAGUUAAAAUAAAUGGGUUAUAAAUGGGUAAUUAGGUUACCCAAUUCAUUUUUUGACUUACCAAUUUAUACCCAUCUAAUUAAAUGGGUAUAAAUGAGUUGACUCACUUAUACCCAUUACCCAUUUUACCCAACCCAAACCCACCCAAGUCACCCAUUUUGACACCUCUACUAAGUACUAAUCACGCGGGCCGGCCGUCCUUUUCCUUUCUUGACUAUGUGUAGUUUUCAAAGCAAACUCUACUAGUCUACUUCCUAAUUGAAAAAGAAAAACUUCCGAAGAUAAUGUCAAUUUUUUCCUAAAAAAAAAAUAACUAAUAAGAAAAGAAAUCCUCUCAAUCUUCGGCGCUGUCGCUCGGACUUAAAAACAUCUACGUGCGAAUCCCAAAUCAUCUGAACUUAACAGAAAUUUAACGAAAAAUCACCCAUUUUAUUCCUUUUUGCUCUGCUUCCCUACAAUUAACACCAAAUAUCAAAUAUGAAUAAAAUCUACCAAUUAAAAUAAUAUUUAGCUAAAAUUAAGCAGAAAACAAUUAGAAAUUUAAUAACAAAAUGCAACCUAUCACUCAUAUUCUAAAUUUAAUAUUCCACCUUCUUUGUUUGUCUUAUUUUCAUAUUUUAAAAUUUAUAAAUCAAAUUGUGUAAUGGUAAAAGUGAAAAGAUAAUAUAAUCUCUCUCCUCCAGUGCAUUUUUUUAGUAUAUUACUUUUACACAUAAGGGGUGACGAUGUUACAUAAAUUGUCAUUCAAAGGGAGCUAUAUGAGAUUUCUAAAACUCCAAGAGUGUUAGAAAAUAUUAGGAUAAAUCCCAAGAGAGGUUUCUAAAAUAAACCCCUAUAAAUAGGAAGAAUCCUAUUCUUGUCAAUGUGAAAGUCUUGUUAAUUCCACGUGGAUGUCUGGACUGUUGUGUAGUGACCGAAGUUAGGCCGGCCGAAGUUAAGGACCACUCAGUACCGCUGCACCAAAAGCUACAAGGCUUUGCCACAAUUAAUAAAAGUUGUUGGCUCUAAAAAAUGCAAAGUGCAAAGAUCAGGUCUCUUUAGCAGCUCUCCCAUUACCUUUCCCGUUGUCCCACAUCGCUUUUAAGGUCUUCUAGGGUCGGGUAGUUAGAUCCUCAGGUUUGCCUCAAGAGUUGCCGGCUUUUGGGGUUAAAUUUGGGAUUAGGUUUAGCGUUGUCCCACAUCGCUUCUAAGGUUUUCUAGGGUCGGGUAGUUAAGUCCCCAGGUUUGCCUCAAGAGUUGCCGGCUUUUGGAGUUAAAUCUGGGAUUAGAUUUAAUUAUCAGUUCUGAAAAAGUCUGACAAAAAAAAAAAAAGUUUGCCCUUGCAUCAUGCAUCUCCAAACCAUUUCAAUCAUGCACCUCGUGUUACAAAAAUUUUGGUAAACAUAAAGAUUGAUUACUAGAAUGUGAGAAAUCAAACCAUGGGUUUCUCAAAUUUAUAUGAGAUAAUCAAAUGAUGGGUUUCUCAAACUUUGAAAUUUAAUGACAAUAAAUUUAGGAUUAAUCUUUCCUACACUGUUAGUGUAUACACUGACGGAAUUGGAUGAAUGCCACAUCAUCUAAAUUUGAAUUUAAACAUCAAAUUUUGUAUAUGUGACAUGCAUCUAAACCCGCUAAUGUAUACACUAUCAGUGUAUAAAAAAUUUACCCAUAAAUUUAAUGACGUAAUAUUAGAUUCUCAAAUUUUUGAAUGUAAAGAGGUACAUUUAGGUGUUUACCUCAAGACUAACAAGUUAAACUAAUGUAAGUUGAUCCUCCCUAAAAGUUGGAAGGCACAUUAGCUGCACAAGUGGAAGCCAGUAUAGUUGUACUAUGGUGCACUUGUGUCAUGUAUUCUAAUGUAACAUGACAUGGAUCUAGUAGUUCUGAUCAUUGUUAGUCAUCUCAUAUAUAGAGGAUACAUAUGCAAUUACUAGUACUGACAUUGUAUUAGCUCCUAUGCAGCUUUUACAUCACUAAGAGGAAACUGAGAUUUCUCCUAUUGCAACUAAACUUGUUCAUCAGACUCAACUUCUUCAUCAGAAGCCUUGCCUUCCUCAGCCCUACAAGGACCAUAAGCCCAACAGCAAAUCAGGAAAUACAGCAUAUUUACCAUACUUAGUCCAGCCAGAACGCAGAAGUAGUAAUCAUAGUGACCCUUGUUAAUGUUGGUAGAAAUCCAACUUUCUUGGCCUCCUUUUUUCGUCAAAUCAUCAAUACUGUUCAUUAGGAAACUUGCUAGCAAACUUGCCACGGACAUGCCAGCUCCACUUAGGUUAGAAGCCAUACUUGACAUGCUCCUGGGAAACUCUGAAAUGUAGAACUCAUUUUGUGCGAUCGCAUUUAAACCCUCUGCAAGUCCCAUCAAGCAAUAUUGAGGCAGAAGCCACAGUGCCGACAUAUCCACCAUCGCCUCUGGAUCAUCUGAAACUCCUUGCUUAAUCGCAAGACUGCGGCGGAUAUACUCCACAGCUGCUGUUACUAUCAUACAUAGAGAAGAGAGGAAAAUUCCUGUUCCCAUUCUCUGUCUUGCAUUCACAUAAACAGGUUUGCCUUUAAUUCUUGAUGCUAGGGGAAGAAGUACUUGAUCAUAAAGAGCAACCCAGAGGAUCAAAGAACUGACUGCAAAAAUGCCAAAAGAACCUGCUGGAAUUUCAAAAUUUCCAGUGAUCCUGCGAUUCAUGGAGCUUGCUUGAAGUAUUGAAAACGAGUUCUGGCUGAUAUUAAUGAAUGUCACCAUUCCUGUUGACCAUAUAGGGAUCACCUUAAGUAUAGCUUUCAGAUCCUCCACCUGAUCUACGGUGCAAAGACUCCAGGGGUCCUUAGCCCUUCCAUCUGCAGUCAAAUCUUUCUGAGGAUCUCUAAUGAUGCACGCUUUAUUAAGAAACCUGGAGAUGACAUUUAGGGAGUAAGUAUCAACCAUGGAAGCUUAUUAUUGAAUCUUCAUACACGCAUUAAACAACAAAUCUUCACAUUUAGUGGGUAAAAAAAACUGGUAAAAAGCUUUGAAAAAUGGCAUGAAACAGAGAGAAAAUUAGGGAUAAAGGAGAUAUUGUGAUGCAAAUUAUCUGACCUCAUUUUCUCACUAGGAAAAACCAGUGCGGAACCAUUCUUCUGAAGGAACAUGUUUGUGCUAUUUAACUUCAGGGCACUAUUUUUAUAAGACGAUACAAUCACUUUAAUCGGUUCAGUGAGUAAGCUUGCUUUAGCCUUCACCUUGACAUAAAAGGGAGUGGCAAGAAAAAAAGACAGAGCUGCAAAGAGCAUCACCACCACAGAAACUCCAAAACCAAACUGCCAGCCCAUGUUUUCUUGAAUGUACACCAUACAGGUCAAAGCAAUGAGAACAGAGAACGUGUAUGAAGCAUAAUACCAGCUAAGAUAUCUCCCUGACACGCCUACACUUUUGCAGCCAUCUCCUUUUUCCAAUUGAUCUGCCCCAAAGGCUAAGGAAGAAGACCUGAUGCCCCCAGCUCCAGUGGAAAUGAGUGCAAAGGAUGUGAAUAGCAGUAAGAGUUGGAAAGAUGUUGUAGAGUCACAACUGUUGUUAGAUUCCAUACAUGGAGGAGGUGUUGCUUGUGGAAUCAUAGUUGUUAACCAUAAUAGAAUCAUCCCCUUCAGAAUAUAAGUCUUAUCUCAAAAUUUCAUUGAAACUAUUUAAUGACAGUCUAAUAAUCAAACAACACAAUUUGGCUUUUUUGUAUCAAUAACAAAUUGAUUUUCGAUUGGGCAUCAGCUGAUCUGGGAGGAGUUAUCAACAAAUUGAUCUUUGACUUAUAUCAUGCUAAAAAGUAAUAUGUCUAUGCAAAAAGUUAGAAAUUAAUGAAACUUUCUCUAUCAUCAAAGGACACAGUCAUUGGCAUCCUAAUUCAAGUUUCUAGCAAACCUAGAAAUCAACCUAGCUAGAUAUUCAACUCUAGUUGAGUAAGUGAAGCUGGAUUUGAAAAUCAAAUUCCUCCAAAACAGAGGUCCUCUUCGGUGCCUAAGACCAUUGGCAAUUCUCACUAACAGUAACAGAAUGAGGUUCUAGAUUAUUGCAUCUGAUCUUUUCAAUUUUUAAGAGAGCCAGAGCUAUAAUUCUGGAAAAUUUCCUCAAGCCAAACAAGUUCUGUACUUAUCUCUUGACAUGAAUAGUGAAUUCUGGUCAACAGCUAGUUCCUGAGUGUGAUAACGUAACUGGUCCCAAGUGACCUCAGUCAUGUAUAUGAAAAUUCUAAUCCACGGAAAUCAUAGAUUCCCUUGAGGAUGAACAAAAGGAGAUGUAGUAUUCUGACUCCACCUUUCCAAAUAGUGGAGGUACUUAAGAACUCUUAGAGGUCCAUAGAUGUUACUGCAAGGGAAUUUUGAUCCUGACAAGUUAGUUACCUCUAUUCCCAAGAGAAAAAGGUUUAUGAUUACAUAUUACUCAAAAGGCAACAAAAGUACUUGCUAAUAAAUAAUAAAAUACUUCAAAAUCAAAGGUGCUUGAUGUUGACAACCAAAUUGCCAGUAAAACCCCUGUUACGUAAGGAAAAUGACAUCUUAAUUAAAGUCAAUUAUAUAUUAACUUUCUAGUUAUUAUAUAGUAACUUUCUAGUAAUUAAUAAUUUAAUUGAGGCACUAGACAACAACAAGCACUCAAAGAGAAGACAUACUAGACCUUGCUAGAACACGGAAAAUCAUAUCAAAAUAUUGAGAUUGCUAUAGAAUUAAAACCUGCAUAACUGAUAAUACUCAUCUUCCUUUUUGAUUUCCUAAUUUUGGCUUAGAAAUUAAAAGACAUGACCAAGAUAUUGAAACAGGAAGGAGUAAUGUUUACAAGUUCGAAAGCUGGGAAAUUAAUUAAUAGUACCAAAUAUUUACCAGGAGGCUAACAACAGAUCCAAAUCCGAUCAUAUGAAAACGGCCCACGUAAGAAUCUGCAAUGAUGGCUCCAAGAAUCGGCAGGAAGUUAGUAGCUGCUGACCAAUAAAAGAGUACAUUGGAUGCAGCGGUCAUCUCCAUAUGAUAUUGCCUCAUCAGAUACAGAGUCAUGUUAGGAGUUAAACCAAAACUUGCCACCCUCUCAAGCAUCCCAUUUGCUGCAAAGCAGAGUGACAAAAGCAAGGAACACAGUCACUUAAAACUGCAGGCAAUCUUCAAGAAUUCAUAAUCCAUUUCCAUGCCGGCCAAAGAAUCCAUAAAACAAUAAUCAAAUACUGAUUCUUUGCUAGUAACAAAGACCAGUAACAGAUGAGUUGUACCAUUCAGUUUCUUUUAAUCAAGUAAAUGAUGAUUGAUGGAUGGCAUGGUUCUUGAAACGAUGCUGGAUUUUCCCAUUAAAACUUUAUAGGCAAAUUAAUUCAUCCAGUUCACUAAGAGAUAGUGUGUGUUUUUCAUACCUAUGAUGAAUGGCAUGGUUCUGACACCACCCCUUGGUGAAGUCUUCAAGAGGGGCUCUUUAAUCGUAUCUUUCUUUUCAUCUACUGAUGAGCUCUCCAUUUUCUGUGCUUCUCCUGUGAAUCUGUGUCAAUAUAUCUCUUACUUCAUUCUUGGGGCAGAAACAAGCGCAAAGCUCUGAUUAUAUACUAGCAAUCAUAGACUGUGGUGAUGGAAAGAGACCCCUUGUCUCAAUCGCGAUAAGCCAAUACUGAAAAGCGUAGGUAAGUCCGAGCAAUUUGGUGUUGUUGAUGUAUACUUCUUUCAAAAUUUAGGGUGCCUAAUAAACGCUUUGAUUGUAGGUCGUGAUUCAAAUUCCACUCGUAGGUAGGUGUCAGAGCAUCCCUUUGAUUUGUAACUGUUAAAUCUUUAUACAGUCUUUUUAGAUUCUCUCUAGGAUAAAUUAAUUUAUAAAAAUUCCAUCUUUAUCCCAAAAAAAAUAAUAGAGGCGAUUUUACUUCCACAUUGAGUUUGUGUACAUAAUUAAAAUCUAUCCGUAAACAAAUGUUAUAUAAGUGUACACUAAAUAUGUAGUGAAAAAAUACAAUGACGACAAUACAAAAACUUCAAUCCUAAUUGACCCAAGUCUUGAAAGCUAAUUUGGAUUAUGAUCUAAUGUUUUUGAAGUUUCCAAUUUGUGAAUCCAUCUAUAAAAAAUAACUCUAAAUCACAAUAUUGCUAAAUGAUGAAUACAAAUAUCGAAAUUUCUAAAAUUUAGGAGAUGGAUUAUCCAUUAGUUUAUUAUCCAUUUUUACCACUAAUUUGAACUAUUUGCAUUAAAGUCAUUACCAUGCUAGUAAUUUUUUUCUUCUUUUUUUUUUUGUAAGUGGGAGAUUUUUUAUUUAGGACCUACUAUUUACGAUCUCUUCUAUCUUACCAUUCAACCCAACCCACACCCAUUACUAUGUUACAAUGAAAACAAAAAAAUUUAAAAAAAAAGUUUAUCACCCAUUACAUAAGCAUUCACCAUCAAGGAAGAUGAAAUAUGUUUUCAAAGACUUUGAAUAUUUAUUCCUUAAACUUUUUAGUAACACUGUGCAUUGCCGUAUACCUUUUGACAUCUAACAAUUUGCUUUUGUUUUUGGAGAUAUUUUCAGAAACCUCCCUUGAGAUUUCUGACAAUUUCACUCGGAUCAUUUUAAGUUUAAAAAAUUACACCUACCUCCCUUGGCAUAGUAAAAUACCUAUAAUGUCCUCCACUUUGUAGACAAUUUUAAAUUUAAGGCAAUAAAUUUACAAAAUCCAAAAAAAAUUCUAUUUUUCUAUUUCUUAUCUAUUUUUACUCCUCUCUUUUCUAAUUAAUAUAACUUCUUUUUAUUAUCUUCAAUUUUGUGGACAUUAGCAAAUUGAAAUUUACAAAAGCAAUAGAGAGAGUAGAUUAUGUAUCAAAUUAGAAGGAAAUGAAGAGACUCGUAGUCAUAAAGAAAUAAAUAAUGAAAUUGAUGAUUAAAAUAGGAAGAAGAACUAAAGAUGUAAAAUUUGUCAUAUUUUGCUUAUUGUCAAGAAAUACUUUUAUAAAAUGUCAAUAAUUACAUAAGAAUUUCUUUCAUUGGAUUAGAUUUUUUAAUUAUGAUUUUAUUAUGGAGGUAGAAUUAAUUCUCUAUUUUUGAGAUAUUAAUAUUUUUAAGGCCAUAGGAGGGUUGUAAUGACAGUUUUAGAUCAAAUUAUUUUGUAUUGAAAAGGUAUUUGAGUAUUGAUAUUUAAUUUUUGGUACAACUAGUUGUCAAUGGGGUUUGUGUGUAUGUGUAUUUUUCUUUUCUUUCUUUUUUGGUGGUAAGUAUUGAUAUUUUAUAUGCAAUUUAGGAGUUUUUGAAUGAGUACUUGAUUUUAGAAGUUAUACUUGAAUGGUUGUUAGGGAUUAAACUUGUUGAUUUAUGCAAAGUGUGAAAAAAAAAUGAUUAAGUAUACUAUAUUUUUCUUUCUUAGUUUUGUACAAAAGGGUAAUUUAGGAUUUUUGUGAAAAAAUCUACCUUGUUGGACCUACAUUAUUAAGAAACAUAAAAAAUAUGGGAGGUAUAUAUAAUUUUUAAAAUCUGAGGGGAACUCUUUAUAAUUAUUAAAAAUCUCAGGGGAAGUUUGUGGAAUUUUCCCGUGUUUUUGCAUCAAUAUUAUCCCUUUUGCAGGUGAUGCACGCUAUUGCUGUACUAUUAUAUAGAAUAUCCUUUUCCUUGUGGAAAGGAUAUCUAUUUUAAAACAUACAAACAAAUAAGAAAUUGGUCUACAAAGAUUUGCUUGAUUAUUUACCAAUUCAGUUUGCAGCUGGGGUCAAAAAAAAAAAGAGAAAAGAAAAGAAAAGAGAGAGAAUAAAAGAGCAAGACAAAUAAAUAAACAAAGAGCUUCGGGGAAAGAGAAGUUGGUAGUCUCACUCGGGGGAAACAACAAUAAAUAUGGGCGGCGUUGGAUGAUGGGAGGAUGCGAGCUGACCGAUACUCUUCGGGACAGGUGGAGACAGCAUCUUGUGGACGCGGGGGCUAACAUAACAUUUUCUGGACGUGGCAAACGAGGAACAGGCAAAGCUAUCUACGCUAGUGAUUUUUUUAUACGCUAGUCUAAACACCUGUGCUAUGUGCUACGCACUAGGGAUGUACGCGAGUCGAGCUACUCGCGAGUAGCUCGGUCAAUGACUCGGCUCGAAUUCGGGUUGACCGAGUUCGAGCCGAGUUUCGAGUAGUUCGAAUGAAAAUCGAGUCGAGUUUCGAGUCGAAAUAGCCCAGCUCGAGUCGAGUCGAGUAGCUCGACGAGUCGGAGUUAUUUAAAUAAUAUAUUUAUAAUUUAAAUAAUAUAUAUGUAUUAUAAUUAUAAAAUGACCAUUAUGGGUAUAAGUUAUAUGAAAUUUACAAUAUAUCCUUCUUUAUAAUAAAAUCCUAUAAUGGCAAAAAAGUAAUAACAUAAUUGUAAAAAGACCUAAAAUGAAAAAAAUUUUCGAGCCUCGAGCCUAAAGGAAAUUUUUCGAGUCGAGUCUCGAGUAUCAAUUUUUUGGGCUCGCUCGAGCUCGAGCUUUGGUGUAUAUGAGUCGAGUCGAGCUCGAGCUUUGGUGUAUAUGAGUCGAGUCGAGCUCGAGUAUAGCAAUACUCGAGCUCGAUUCGGCUCGAUUACACCCCUACUACGCACAAUGAAUUGUAUUUUUGGAAUAAAUUAUAAUUGAAGAAGGAAUUUAAAAAGAGUGAAAAACUUAUGUAAUUGCUCGUACCAUUUAGGGCACAUCAAAAUAUAGUUAAAAAAUAAAAUUUUGUAGCAAUAGUUAAAGUAUGAUAAAAAUAUUUCCAUUAUUUAUAAACUACCACUUUUGAUGGAAGUUGGAUCUCGAAAAAAAGUAGAAAUGUAUGUCACAAACUGAGCGAUAUAAGGGUCCAAUUAAAUGUAAUUGAAUAUGUAAUUUGAUAAGUAAAUGAAAUACUUACAAACAUUUUGUAUUCAAUUUGAUAAUCUUCUAUGAAGUUGUGAACAUUUUUCAUACUAAUCAACUCUAAGUACGAACACCAAUAAUGGAGGAUUAAUUAUUUCUAUUGAAUUCUAUGGAGUUCGUACUAUAAAUGAGAAUGCACGAUUUUUGCAUGAAUUAAUGUGUUGGUCUGAACAAUGUACUUCCAUUUUCCUGAGAAUUGAGAGCAUACUGAAUUCAGAAUUAUCAUUUUUUUUAAGAAAGUUUAUAAAUAAUAUUACAUAAAAAUAUGUACGUAUAAAUAAUUUAUACCUUUCUCUUUAAAUCUCUAAGAGAAAAAGUAUCACAACGAAAUAUGAAUUGUGCAUGCCUGUCUUGAAGAUCUAGAUUUAGAUUACCACUAGAAUCUCUAACUUCUAUGUUAACAUUGUAUCUGUUAAGAAAAAAAAGUGGUGUACGAUAUAGAAAAUUAUAUUAAAAUUAAAGAUAUAUGAAAAAAAUUCCCUGACAAUAGUGCCAAUUACAUUAUUUAGAUAGAUACACACCAUUUUUGCAAAAUGAGAUUGAUAUGGUUGUUCAUAAUUUUUGCAUAACUCAUCAAACAUAUUGUCUAUGUUAAUGCUUUAAAUGUAAAUAAGUAUUCAAAAAUAUUUAACCUUGUAGGCGGGUAUGUUCCAUGAUAAAAUUAAGUCGAGGGCUAAGAUUGGUUACCGCAAGGAAGUUGAAAAAGAUGAUAGAUUCCUAUUUUUGUUUACGAAAAUGACAAAUGAACAUAUGGGAUAAGUAGUAAUGAGAAUAGAUGAUAGAUGCCAAGGAACUAUUAUGACGAAUGGAUAGAUGGGAUAAGUAAUGGGAAGAAAUGAUAGAUACUGAUGAAAUAUUGUGUUUUUUGCCCUUUUCUUUUUUUGUCGAAACAAUGAACUAUUGUGGUUGAAGGAUACUAUGUUUUUAUCUAUUACUAUGGUUUUGAAAAAGUCUUAAAUGAAUGAAAUUCACAUUUUAUGAAUGUUAAUGGGAAACGUGUUGAGUUCAAUAAUGAAAACGUUCCUAAUUAUGAUCUUGGAGAAGUCUUAAUUGGAGUGAAACUUGCAUUUGACAUAUGCCAAUGGGGAAUGUGUUGAGUUUAAAGAUGGAAAUGUGGUGGUGAUUUGAAAGACAUGCACACUAAUGACUUAAAAAUGGUGCAGAACAUGCAUAUACUAAUGAGACAUUUCAAUUUUAAAGGAUAAUGUUCACAUGAUAGAAAUAAUUUUGAAAAAUAACUAAAUAUCAAUAGUACAUGCGGCAGGAGUUGAGAGGAAUGUAUUUUAUAGAAUAAAUUAAAUGUGAAAUGCUAGACAAAAAGAAUUGGGACAGAGAAGGUGCGUGGAGGUUGUUUGUUGAAAACCUCUUCUCAAAUUUAUAUAGAUAUAUAUAUUUUCCUUAUUAUCUUUACAAUAUAUAAUACCACAGGUGAGAGAACCAUUGUGUGGUGUAAACACACAAUAUUAUUCUUUGAAGUUUUUAUUUUACCUUUAAUUAUAGGGGUAAAAUAUCUUUGCAGUAUAUAAUGCCAGAGGACUAUUGUAUAGUGUAAACACACAGUAUCAUUUUUAAAAUUUUCUAUUUUAUCCUUAAUUAUAAGGGCCAAAUAGUCCCAGUUUAUUGCAAGAUAACCACACACUUACAGCGUAGUUUCCAACUCCCACGUUUAUGUAUUCCACUCAUCUUCCUUUUUAACAUAUCUAGUCUAUGCGGGAAUGGGGAGCUUUUCAAUCGAAUUCUGAUUGCUGACGUGGCCCGCUUGCAUUGGUUGAUUGGUGGUUGUCCGCUCGUGUGAAUUUGGUCGUCCGCUUCUUGUGUGAAUUUGCUGGCCUGCCGAUUGUUUCUUUCUUUCCAUUCCCACGCCUGAAUUCUUUCGUUUUUUUAACAUAUCUCAAACGUUUAACAAUUCUUUUGGAUUUUGUUUCUUUUUUUUUUGCUCAGCCGUUUUGUAAUACUUUUUCCCAAUUAAUUUUUCGUUAUCUAAUCAAUUGUUUCAUUUUUUAUUACCUAACACAUAACAUUUAGCUUUCAACUUCAUACAAUUAUUAGCAUUUUUUUGUGGUUUCCAAAUAAAUGACAAUUAAUUAUCAAAUCCUUGUAAUUGACACAUACUAAUUAUUAUUAACACGUUUUUUUUCCAACUUCAUACAAUUAUUAGCUUUUUUUUUGGUUUCCAAAUAAAUGACAAUUAAUUAACAAAUCCUUGUAAUUGACACAUAUUAAUUAUUAUUAACACGUUUUUUUUUCUGAAUAUAAGAGGGGGAGGCAUUCGCCUAUUAUUAUCAAAUUUUCAUUACAACUUUAUAUGUGAUAAAUUUAAUUAUGCCCAGUAAGUUUAUAUGUAAGUCAAUUUUAAAGGUUUAUUUUUAGAUGAAAAAAGGGACAAACACUUAACUCAACUCAUUACUCUUGUCUUCUUUGCUUUUGGCGGGCUUAAUAGUUAAUUGUUUCAUAAUUAACUACUCUUAUAAAGUAACACCCUUUAUUACCAGGUCUUUGCAACGGACAAAUUUUGUUUGUUUAGUUUGGCUGCAUCGGUUCUCGAUUUCUUCAUCCGCCGCUCAUAUUUCCUGUCAUCAGCCUCCAGCCUCCUUUUGUUGACAGCUGAUUUUACCUGAGCUGCGUACUACCUGGCUCAUUUUUAUUAGAUUGCCCAUCCUUUCUGCCUCCAUUUACGCUUCCUCAUAGGAGCCUUCUGUAGUCUUUUUUGUCCUUUUCUGAGGUCAUGCCUGUAAAUCUGCAAUCCGCCCCCGCCUCUUCUCGUUGUCAUCCAUCACCUCUUCUGCUUCCGUCGAUUGACACUGUUCUCUGCUUUGCAUUUGUAUAAUGGUUAUACAGUUUCUCCCCUUUUCUUUGCAUUUGUCCAACAGUUAUAGAAUUUCUCCGCUUUCCCCCACCAGAUUUUCGGCUGCUCAACAUCAUGAACAGUGGUAAUUGUGCAUCUGCUCCUUUCUUUACCCUUUUUUACUGCUCUUGUUUCUUUGCUGAACAGAAGGAACUACCUCAUAAGCAUUGCUCUUUCUUUUUCUUUACCUGUUUUGAACCAUCCUUUUCCCUGCCUUAUUUGUUUAGCUCCGAUUUGCGCUGCUGUUGUUGCUGCUGCUUCCUGGUGAGCACUUGCUUUUACAGUUUGUUUUCUAUUGUUUUCCCUCUACUCGUUUGAAUACUUCAGAAUUGCUGCCAUACUGCUGUGUUUUUUUAUUUCUUCCUUGCUUCUUUGCUCUCUUGCGACCUGGAUCGCCCAUUUUUAUUUUCCCCUGUCCCUGCUAAAUUCUUAUCACCAAAUCAACUUCUUUUUUUUUUUUUGUCUGUCAUUUUUUUCCCACCUUUUCUUGUAACCCCUUACAUUCUCAUGGUUUCUUUGACAGGUUCUGCUCUUAUUCGAUUCUACGGUGUUUAACUUCUUCGUACAACCAGGUUAGCUUUCUUUAUUUUGUUCUAUUCUUCUUUUACUCUUUUCUCUAUGUUCUAUGCUUUAAUUUGUACCUCUUUGACGUUCAUUUUCUGAUGCAUCGUUAGUUUCAUCCUACUCCAGUUCUACCUUUUAUUGUUUGCCUGUUUCUGACCUUUAAACCCUUUUAUGAUCUUUAUACAUUCCAUGUAUACGUUAUUCUGUUGUUCCUGAUGCUGUUCCAUUGCCAGUAAGAAAAUGCCAACUUUUUGCACUGUAAUUACCUGCCUGAUUUUUUUCCCCUGUUAAAUAUUUGCUUUUUCCUCAACUGUUAGCCAUUAGCUUCUUUUCAUCUCUGCUAUUUGUUUGAUUUUUACUCGCUCUGCUUUUUGUCAUUUUUUAGUUUACAUUCUUUUUUUGCUGAGUUAGAUGUUCCUUUCUUUAUAUAAUCCUUCGGCGUUUUAGCACUCUUAGCGAUCUUGAAUGGAUAGAAAUACUGUUCGCCGAAAAAAGUAUGCAGAAAUGCCACCGCUGAAAAAAAAAGAACUGCUUCAACGUCGAAGAGAAAAUAGAUCUGCCAAGAAAAAAGAUACACGCUUACUCUCGCGUAUUCGCAAGGUUCCCCUUGGUUAUAUAGAAUCAGGUGUUUCUUUCCCUGAUUCGAACCAUGGAAACCUUGAUAGUGCGAAUCACCCUUCUCUGCAUAGUAACGUGUUAGGAGGUGAAGUAUUGAAGAGCGGUCAUGACAGUGCCGAUGUCAUUACUGAGGCAUUGCAAUAUAUGUCCUCUCGCAACUCUGCUUCUUUUGUUCCUCAUGUUGCCUUUCCUUCUACUGCUGAAAUAGCAAGCCACAUUCCAAAUGCAACUCUUCUUGCAGGUAUAGUCAGUAAUGUCCUUCUUCCUUCUUAUCCAAUGGGUUGUUUUUUGACCGCCUUCACUCCCCUGCCUACUGGUUGCUGUUUUUACAUUUCAAUUCUAUGUAAAUGGAUGGAUCUUCAUUUACAAUCUGCAGAGCUUCCACCUGCUGCUAAGGCUGAUCUUAGGAGCUGCAAAGGAAAAUUCCUUCCAGAAAAAAGAAAAAAUUUGAACCUCUCUUCUUCCACUAUUGAGCCUGAUUUUUGUCUGCCUAGGAGAAAAAUUAGGACCUCCAUACCUGUAGCGUUGCAUGAACGUCCGAGCGAUUGCUUUGAUCAUUCGGAUUGUGUCAUCCUAGGUACUAGCUCUGGCAAAGAAGAUUUGCCUACGAGCUGUCUUUUUCAGAAUUCAGUAGAAUAUUGUUCUUCUGCCCAUGUUUCUAUGAAUUGUGAAAAUCUUUAUCCCCUCGGAACUGCUGUUCAUGCAGCCCCAUUUCUGCACCAAAAAGACAAAUCUUUUGAGAGGCACGAUUCUAUAACUAGAUCUGCUUCCUCUGUUCCUAUGAUCUCGGUUAACAGGACCAACAGUUCUUCUCAUCUUUUUAGAAGCAUUAUGCAACCUUCCAGCAUAGAUAAAGAUCCUGUACUUGCUCAUCAGCUUUUUGAAAAUGUUGUUACGUACUCUCCUUUGGCCAAGGUUUAUAUGCAACCUGGUCAGCUGCAAUCUCCUUUCAAUGAUAAGCACCGACUAUUUCAUUCUGAGAAAAAUAUACCACCCUUUGAGAACCAACCUUUUGAAGCAGCUUCUACAUUUCAAGGUAUAUUUUUUGAACAGCGGCUACUCUCAAUGCAGCCCUUCUGAAUAUUCUUUACUUCUGACCACAUCCAAAUUAUAUUCAUUCAAAUGACAUCAGCCUGUUUUGUUUAGCUUGUUUCUUUAUACGCUUGCAGAAACCACCUCUGCUCAAGUGAGUCGCUCUAUGGAUACUGUUGAAAGAAAUGAUUCGGUCAUGAAUGCAGCGAAAAUUGCCCGCUCUUCUGCUUUCCCAUGUAGAGAGCAGCCUUUUACCCGAGAACGCUGUUCUCAUCGCCGUGUGCCGAAGCAGGCUCCGGGUUGGCAUUUUAUUUCUCAGUAGCUAUUUAGAUGCCAUUGCUAAAUAACCUGAUAAAGGGCCCCCUUAGAUCGCUUCUCAAUUGUAGCUUCGAAAUAAAUGCAGCUGCACCUAAAAAGAGGAGCCAGCGAAUGAAUGCAGCUGCACCUAAAAAGAGGAGGCAACGACGAAUUUUCCCAAUCAAUGAAAUCCCGCAUGAAGCUUUGGCUCUUCCAGAUGCUCCUAAUUGUGAGCACUGUGGAGCCAAGAGGUUCCAUUUAGAACCUCCUAACUUUUGCUGCUCUGGAGGAGAGAUUUCUAUAGUUGCUCCAUCUAUGCCUUACGAUCUUAAGCGCUUAUUUAUCGAAAAUGAUGAGGAAAGCGCUCAUUUCAGAAAUAAUGUGAGGACCUAUAAUAACAACUUAGGAUUCACGUCCUUUGCUGCAAAAUAUGAUCCAGAACUGACCAAGAACACAAAAGGUGUUUAUACUUUUCGUGUUCAAGGUCAGGUCUACCAUUUCCUUAAUAGUUUACUCCAGUCAAGCGAAAAACCUUCAGGAAUUCAGUUUUACUUUUUUGAUUCUGAUGAAGAAUUAGCAAGGAGGGUUGGAAGUUCUGAUAAGCUGCGUGAAAGUACUUUAAAAUUACUUAUGCGUAUCCUCUCGAACAAUCCUUAUGCUAGAUUCUUUAAGAAUCUCAGAAAUGUCCCAACCAUUGAGAGCUAUAAAAUUGUUUUGAAUUGCUAUCCUGGUUUAGACCAGCGUGUGUAUAAUCUGCCUACGGCCUCUCAAGUUGCUGCCAUAUGGACUGAGGAUGACGAUGAAUCAACAGAUAAAAAUGUUCAUAUUCAAGUUUAUACCCACUUUAAUACCAGCCAUAGAAUUAAGCAUUACUAUGGCUGUUAUGAUCCUUUGCAAUACCCUAUUCUCUUUCCUCAAGGUGAAUGUGGAUGGCACCAUGGUGUUAAAAAACUUCACAAAAGAAAGAGAAAUGCAGAUUCUUGUGAGAAUGAUUUCAAUGUCGACCCUUCCUCUGUUGAUGACCCUUCGCAUUUACUUGAUUUGGAGCGUAGAGGCAAGUGGAUUUCUUGCUGUCUAUCACUAUUAAGAGUAAGCAUCAUACACUUUUCUGAAUUCGUUUGACAUUUUCCCCUUGGUUCGUUAUAGCUGUUGAACAUGGAAAGAAUGAAGAGGACACUGUAUCAGCGAGAGAGUAUUAUUGUUAUAGGUUUCAAAUAAGAGAAGAUGAUGAGUCAAUGUUGCUGCACUGUCUUAGACUUCUACAACAAUUUUCAGUUGAUUCAUAUGUGAAGAUAGAAACUUCUAGACUGGACUUUCAUAGACACCGACAAAAUGUGGUUAGGUCAGAAAUUCUUCAAGGGGUAUUAGACAGUGUCUCUGUGGGCCAAACUGAAGGUUCUAAAGUUGGUCGUAGGAUAGUGCUACCUGCUUCCUUUAUAGGUGGUCCUAGAGACAUGAGGCGCCGCUAUCUUGAUGCAAUGGCACUCGUGCAAAAGUACGGAAAGCCGGACAUUUUCCUUACCAUGACCUGCAAUCCGGCAUGGAAAGAAAUUCAGUGCAAUUUGAAAUAUCAUGAGAAGCCGCAGGAUAGGCCUGAUCUUUUAGCUAGAGUUUUUAGAGCUAAAUUUGAGAUGCUUAAGCAUGAACUUUUGAAUAAACAGAUUUUUGGUGAAGUGGCAGCAUGCGUCUAUGUCAUUGAGUUUCAAAAACGGGGAUUUCUACAUGCUCAUUUGUUGCUCAUUUUAAAGCCUCAAUUUAAGUUGCUCAAUCCGGAGUCCUAUGACAAGGUAGUCUGCGCUGAAUUACCUGAUCGGUCUCAAUAUCCUCAUCUCUACUCUCUUGUUGUAAAACAUAUGAUCCAUGGCCCCUGCGGAGAUAUGGAUAAAAGUUGUCCUUGUAUGAAAGACGGUUCUUGCAAGAAUCGCUAUCCAAAAAAUUUCUGCCCUCAUACGACCCAUGGUGAAGAUAGUUAUCCAUAUUAUAGGAGAAGGGAUGAUGGCAAAAAAGUGAAAGUUCGCAGAUUCACCCUUGAUAAUAGGUGGGUUGUGCCUUACAACCCCUAUCUUCUUGCUUUGUUCGAUUGUCACAUGAACGUGGAAAUUUGUUCUACCAUUAAAUUGGUCAAGUACUUGUAUAAGUAUGUGUUCAAGGGGCCUGAUCAGGUUUCCUUUAGGAUUAUGACAGAUGAUAGUGCUACUGAUACUGACGAGAUUAAAGAGUUUCAAAAAGGCCGAUACAUUUCACCUCCAGAAGCUUUUUGGCGCAUCUAUGAGUUCCGCUUAAAUGAGAUGACCCCAUCUGUUUAUUCUCUCCAAGUUCACCUUCCGAAUCAACAGCUUGUUUCCUUUCCAAAGAGCUCAGAUUUGCUGCAGUUGUUAGCUAAAGUUGAUUUUUCUAAAACCAUGCUAACUGAGUUCUUCAAAAUGAAUGCAACCAACCCAACUGCUGAAAACCUUAAAUGCUUUUAUAAGGAUUUCCCUCAGCAUUUCGUUUGGUCUUCUAAGUAUAGGCAUUGGACAGAAAGAAAGCGUCGAAAGGUCAUAGGUAGACUCGUCAGUGUUAAUCCAAGAGAGGGAGAAAGGUACUAUCUAAGGCUUCUCUUAAAUCAUAUUCCAGGACCGCUAUCAUUCGAUGAUCUCUUGACUGUUCAUGAUCAAAAAAUGGAUUCGUUUAGGGAGGCUGCUUUGGCGCUUGGAUUGUUGCAAUCUGAUACAUAUAUAGAAGAAACACUUGAUGAAGCUGCUGCAUUUCAAAUGCCAUCCUCCCUCAGAUUAUUAUUUGCUACUCUUCUGGUCUAUUGUUCUCCAACUGAUCCUGUGAUGUUAUGGAGAAAAUUUGAAUUGGACUUUUCUAAAGAUUAUGAGCGGCAUAAACAAUAUCAUGACUACUCUCCCGCUCAAAUUAGGGGCCUGGUUCUGGCUGAUAUUAACAAAUCACUUCAGUAGAUGGGUACAAACAUUGCUGCCUUUCAGUUACCAUUAGAUGAUCUCGUUAGUGUAGAACAGGCUCACCUAACAAAGGAGAUAGAAGCUGAAAGAAACAUAGACAUACUGCCUGAAGAUCUAUUAAUGUCUUUGAAAUUAAAUUCCCAGCAAAAGUAUGCUUAUGACAUCAUCCUACAAGCAUGCUUUGCUUCCCAAGGAAAUUCUUUUUUCAUUGAUGGUCCUGGAGGUACCGGUAAAACCUUUUUAUACCGGUCUCUGCUUGCUACUCUGAGAUCGCAGGGCUAUAUAGCCAUUGCAGUAGCAACCUCUGGAAUUGCAGCAUCUAUUCUGCCCGGAGGGAGAACUGCGCACUCAAGGUUCAAAAUACCUCUUGAUUUCUCAAAGAACAGAACCUGCCAGCUUAGCAAGCAAGGCGGGGUUGCAAGACUGCUCUCAGAGUCAAAACUAAUCUUGUGGGAUGAGGCUUCCAUGGCAAAACGAGAAACUAUCGAGGCAUUUGAUGAUUUGCUUCGAGACAUAAUGGAGUCUGAACUGCCUUUUGGGGGUAAAGUUGUUGUAUUUGGUGGGGAUUUUCGCCAAACACUACCUGUUAUUGAGCAAGCAACAAAGGAAAUCCUCUUGCAGUCAUGUUUUCUGAAUUCUCCAUUGUGGUAUAAACUUCAUAAACUGAAGUUGACGGAAAACAUGCGAGCUAUAUUGGAUCCUCAAUUUUCUGAAUUCUUGUUAAGAGUUGGCGAAAGGCGUGAACCUGUGGACAUCAACGGUGAAAUAACUUUGCCUAGAGAUUUAGUCAUUCCUUAUUACGAUAAAGAAGAGUCCUUAAACAGGUUACAUGGCUUAAUAAAUUCUGGCUUAUCUAUCUGCUCUUUAGUGUAUACGGUUUCUGAUCAAGCUUCUUUAUUAACAGGUUACUGAACUGUGUAUUCCCAGAUUUAGCUCUCUAUUCCCAGGAUCCAUAUAGCAUGAUUAAUAGAUGUAUUCUUACCCCCAAAAAUAGUUCAGUUGACGAGCUGAAUGAUAUAAUGAUUAGAAGGUUUCCUGGAGAGCUUCACGCUUACAUUAGUUCUGACAAAACUGUAGAUCAGCGGCACCAGGGGGAUUAUCUAGAUUUUCUUAAUUCUCAGAAUCCAAAAGGCCUUCCUCCUCACAGGUUAAUGUUAAAAGAAAACUGCCCGAUUAUACUUAUAAGGAAUCUAAAUCCCAUUGAAGGACUAUGCAAUGGCACAAGGCUUUUAUGUAGAGAGCUUGGCCGGCAUACUAUCUCUGCAGAAAUUGUCUUCGGCCAGCAUCGAGGAAACAGAGUUCUCAUUCCAAGGAUACCAUUGCAAACUCCUGACAGCCAAAAGAAUUCGAUUGCAUUCAUAAGAACUCAGUUUCCUAUUCGACUCUGUUUUGCAUUGACCAUUAAUAAAUCUCAAGGACAAACUCUAGAUUAUGUUGGCAUUUACUUGCGAGAACCUGUCUUUUCUCAUGGACAGUUAUAUGCAGCCUUGUCCAGAGCUAGAACUUCAGCUGAGCUGAAAAUACUUAUUGUACCAGGAACUUUUGAUGGUAUAAAAACGGACUGCAAAACUAGAAAUGUUGUAUUCAGUGAAGUUUUUGAAUUGAGCCAGCAGUAGAAUGUCUUAUAUUCAGGUAUACUUGCACCGGUCUAUGGCUGUGUUUACUUAUUGCUAAUGUCUUAUGCAUACCCAACCUUGUGCAUUAUAAUCAUUUUACCUUCUUUUACAGAAAUGUCUAACCUCCUGCUGAUUGAUAAUAUCAUGCCUGAUAUGAAGAACUGGUCUUGUAUCAUCACAGUUCAAGAAAAGCAACAAGUCACAGAUUCUAUGGGAACACCGACCAAGAAGCAAAAGUUUAUCUUCUAUGAUUCAGAGGUAAAAUUUUAGAUCCUUAAAUGACCAUUAGCUAUUUAAUCUUUUAUUUGUUUGUCUAUCAUGUUUGUUAUAUGGAAAAUUUUUUUUUGCUUGAUGAUAGGGCUCUAAAGUUGAAGGGAUAAUCUUCAAUACUGAUAUUCCAAGGAUGAGUCCUAUGCUUCAGGUCUAUAAGAGAUAUAAAAUUUCAAAUGCUGAUGUCAGAACUAUUCCACCAAAGUUUCGGAGUGCUGGAUUAAUCAAACAGUGGGUUAUCACUUCAAAAACUGUCAUUGAAGAGGUUGAUGCCAAUGAGGACAUUAUGCCUGUUAAAUUUGCUUUCACUGACUUUGCUGAUUUAGCUGAAUACAUGGAUGAUAGAACGAAGUCCGUCGGUGAGUAUGCAACCAGGCUUGUCUAUCAUGUUUUUAUCACACAUCGCUCUGUUCUCAGCUUGCCUUCUCUCCCUUCGCAGAUGUCCUCGGAGUGGUGAUCAGUUCAUUAGCCAUGAAGACAAUCACUAGAAACUCCAAACAGUCAAACGUUCAGAAAUUUGUCAUCCUUAAUGAAGAGUAUGCAAUCUUUUUAUCAUACUGCACACUCUUUUGCUGACCUUAUCUCACUUUUCCUUUAUCUUUGAAUCAUUUUCAUCCUGGCCUUUAUAUCAAUGUUAGGUCUCAAACUGUCCUGCUAUCUUUAUGGGACGAUUUUCUGAACAAUGAAGGCCAAGCUCUGUUGAACAACAUGCAAAGCUAUCCUGUAAUUAUUGGUCGAAGACUGAGAGUUAACAACUACAAUGGUCUGUUCAAAUGCUGUCUUUUUUGUAUUAUAACCUUUACUUCUAGCUCGGUAUUCAUUUUGUUCUUUAUACUACAGGUGUUUCUCUCUCUACUUGGUUCGACUCUGCUUUGCUUGUUGAUCCACCGAUACAGGAAGCAAGACAACUCAAGAAUUGGUGCAAUGGCAUUAACUGACAUUUUCUUUUUGUACUUCAAUGUCACUUAUAUUUUUACACCAACUGAUAUUUUCCUUACAUCAUCUUUUUUUUUGGUAGGGCAAUGAGAAAUGCAGAGUCAAUUGCAGAGAUCGUUGAUGCAAAGAGCUACAUUAAAUACAAUCCUGCACUUUCUUUAAAAAGAGACCAGAAAACUACUCUGAUUUGCAAUGUUACCCCAUCACACAAGGUGAUCAAAUGAUAACCUGUUCUAUAAUUUUAUAACGUCGUAUCUAUUCAGUCUUUCACCUGAUAAAUGCCUAUCUUUUAGACUGCUUGGGUCAAGGCAAAUCUCUCCUUUGAACACAUCUUCCAGAAAUAUUGGUACAUGAGUUGUGCAAAAUGUUACCGAGCUACAGCGGCAGAUUAUGGAAUUGAAUUUACUUGUAAUUCAUGCAAAGAAAAGGGACCUGCUAUGCCUAGGUCCUGUAUUACUAAAUCACUGGCUUUAAUUCUGCUACUUAAUUUCUCUUAACCUUACUGUUACAGAGUGUAUAGCCUAACAGCUUGUAUACUUAUUUUCAGAUGCCGGUUUGACAUUGAAUUGAGCGAUGACAGCGGAGCUAUACCUGCUUCUAUUUUUGGAGAUCUAGCAGAAAAUAUUCUGACCUUUACUGGCCUUGAAGCAAUGGAUAACUUUAAUCAGGUUAUUUUAAUUCAUCGAAUUUAAUAAUAAGUGCAAUGUUUCCAUGUCACCCUUAUAGCUUCUUUGCUUCUUCCAGAAUCUUGAGCUGCCACUUGAGUUUGUUCAUGCACAGCUUAAAACAAAGACAUAUCUGGUUCACAUUAAGCCAGUCCAAACACAGCUCGCUGAUGCCAGACAGCGUUAUACAGUUCUAUAUUGCUCUGAACUUGAACCAAAAAUUGCUCGUCCUCAGUUAACACAUGAACCAGAAUCUGUCUCUCUUUCAGCUGACCAGCAGACAGAAAAUGAGCAGCUGUUGACACCAGGUUGAUGAAUAUACCUGGAAGAAUUGUGAUGCAUAACUAUGUUUUCUUUGACUGAACUAUUAACUUAGCUUAGCGUUGCACUUGCAGAACAUGGCAGCUCUAGCUCAAAAGUGCGCCUUCGGCUCAGUGAAAAGUUUGAUGAAACAGACACUGUUAGCACCAAUGACUUUGACAGUCCAGAUGCUGACUCUAAGAAGAAAGCAAAAUUAGUCUGAAUUGCCUUCGCUGCCUUUUUGAUUGCUCAGACAUAAAUAUUUUUUUUUGGUUUUGUGAUCUGCACUUGUAUGACUUUUGUUAAUGGCUUUUGUUAAUAGGCAGAUUGUUAAUGGCUUUUGAAAAUACUGCUCAUCCAUUCACAAUUCCCUGGCUUUUGUACGUGGUUAUCUACUAAACAGCUUUUGUCGUGAUCAUUGAACUUUGAUAAUGGCACCUGUAUCAAGGUUCUUGCCAGGUUUUCAAAGAUUAACUGAAAUCCUCCAUCUUAGCAGAACCAUGGGGAUUUUUACAGAUAUCUUUGGAUUCCUGACAAUGAACUCCCUUCCUGUAGAACUAACAGCUUUGUAAUCUAUACAAUGUGGGAUUCCUUUCCAUUUCGUUCUAUUUUCUGCAUUACAGUUGUUAUUAUCACUUUCGAACAACCAGUUCUGUGUACAUAGUUGUUCAUUUAUUACACAAAUUCUUGCCAGUUUUCAAAUAAAACUUAUAUAUUCUGUUCCUGCUGCUUACAUGUCAGACUGUCUGCUCCACUUAACAUGCCAAGUACACGAUGACUUAUAAUUUUCCCUUCAAACCAUUAAAGCACUACAAAUGCACAGCUAUAACAUGCUGUCAAUUGGCAGCUCGCACUUAAUUUCUGCCAUUCAAUUGUCUUUUCUAUUCAUUAUUUCUUACCAUCCUCUGCUGCAACUAAUUAAUCUUUUCAGCCGUGGUAGGAAAGAGCUUGAACUUAGCAUUAAAACCAAUGAAAAAUACACUCUUUUUGCAUUCAUCUUUUCUUUAUAUAUAUCCUCUUUAUCAUUUGCAAAAUCAUACAUAAAAACUGUCCACCAUACAUUUGCACUGGCACAUUUUCUGCACAAGAACUUGUCCACAGGUGAAUAACUCUGCGAUCUAUUUCUAGCACUCAUAAGAUAAUAUAGGCUUGUGCUUACAAUUUUUAUUAACAAGGCACUUUUCUGAUUUUUCAAUUCUUCAGUUUUCUUCCUUAUAGAUCAAUAGCAGAUGCAAUGUCUGUAUCUCCAGCGAAUUUUCCUCCGACAAAUAGCUGUUUACCAGCUUGCUGUUUUCUGCUCAAAUGCAUUCACAGAGGACAGGUUAACUUUUAGUUCAUGUUCACCUGCAUUGCGGCAUUUAUUGUUGAAUAGCAUGGUAUUCUCUGACAUUAUUUUCCUGUCUCAUUUUUUCAAGGUAUUACCAGCUCAGUUUGAAUUGUUGCUUCAUCAGCAUCACUGCAAUAGAAUCACUCUAAGGUUUGGACUACGGCAAUGGACCAUCACAGUUACUGAUCAUGCAUUCGGAGAAGGAUGGGAUGUUUUUUGUGAACACAACAUUGUUAAAAGACAUGACACGUUGUUACUUCGACAUAGCGGAAAUCUGAUAUUUGAUGUCAUUCACUUCUGUGAACUACAAAAACAAGUUUUAUUGCCCUGGACAGUUCCCCUGCCAGACCUGUUGCACUUGAAUAGCGUUGCAUCACGAGGUGAAAAUAUCACUGUAUCUAUCUCAUAUCCUCAUCCAUAUCAUACAUAGUUUUAAAUUUAACUCAUUAUCACUGAUUCCAGAUGAUAUCCAUGCACCUACUAGACACCAGCAAGUUGCUUCGUCACUCAGACCAAAUUUCUGCCAAGAUCUAUCUGAUUCGGUUUGCUUUUAUCAAAUAUUUAACUCUGCAACUCCAAACAAUUUGGUCAGCUAUUCCAUGUUUACCUGCAUUCUCUUUAUCAUCCCAACUUUCUUGCAAGCAAUUUCCUUUUGUUUCUGCAUAUCUUCUGAUCUCAACCUCUUCAUGACAGAAAAUUCCACGCUUUAUUGAUCACUUCAUCAAUGGUACCAAGACUCCGAUGUUGCUUAUCAAUACUGGAAACAAAAGUGCUCGGAUAGGUGUAAAGCAUAAAUGCCUUCACAAAAACUGGAGAGAUUUCAUUCUUGAACAUCAACUGCAGCACAACGAAACCCUUGUUUUUGUUCCGGAAUUUGAAAAUAUAUUUACGGCUUUGAUCUUCGACGAUACCGGAGUUGAAAAGAUUUUUCCUUGGUAUCACGCAUUCAAUAUUUGUUCAGAUGCUUGACGAAUUUAACUGAAUGUAAUUUACCUAUAAAUUAAAUACAUUACCGAUAAUUUCAGCUUCAUCUUAGCUACCCUAUACAGCUAUUGGCCCGUGAACCUUAAUACAUUACUUCUUGUUUGUAUUAAUUAAUAUUACAAAAUUAAUUACUCAGCUGGGCAUUACUGGGCAUCAUUACAUUCGCCCACCGCGCAUCGCGCGGUGAUCACCUCCUAGUCUUCUCCUAAAGCAACUUCCUCUUUUUAUGCGAUAUAUAAUGCGGAGGAUUAUUGGGUGGUGUUAACAAAUAGUGCCAUUUUUUUGAAAUUCUUAUUUUACCCUGAAGUCCCAAUUUAUUGCAAGACAACCUCACAAUUACAGCAUAAUUAUCAAUUCACAUUAUCCACAAAUCAUCACUCUCUCACUCCAACUCCCACUUUUAUGUAUCCCACUCAACUUCCAUUUUUUUCUCUCCGAAAGCAACUUCCUCUUUUCUACACCAUUAUCCGGAGGAGAAGUCUACUAAUUCCUAAUGGACGUAGAUAUGGUUUGAUACCAAUAUUUCAAAUAUUAAUAAAGGACUGUGAUAGAAAAUAAAAACUUUAUAAGGACAGAAUUUCAUAUAUGUACUUUUUUAUUAAUUGCACACCUAUUAGGGUGUGCCUUAAUCACUAGUUAUCAUUGUUUGAACUAACUCCAUUUUGUGCUUCCAAAUUUUUAUCACUUUUUUACUUUACAUCCUAAAAUAUAAUUUAUUAGAAUCGUAUAUUCUAAACUUUUAAGUUUAGACAGUUUAUAUCUUAAAUUCUCAAAUUGUCGCAUUUAAAUCCAAUUAAUGACAACGUUAGUAGAAUUAAUAGCAUGAAAACCUUGCAAAUUAACGAUAACUAGUUGAAAAUUUGAAAUUGGUCAAAAGGAACCAACUUAUCGCAAUUAGAACAAAAUGAUACAUUAUAAUUAAAGUAAAGUCAAAAAUAUAUAAAGUAACAAAAAGUAUUUACCCUAAACUCACAUCUCUGCUUUUGUAUAUAGUAUUGAUUUUAAGCAUGAAUUGCUUAAGUAUAGGAGAGUAGAUAAGUAAUUGAUUCACAAAACAACCUUGGAAGGGUGAGUUUAGAUCGUUAACUUAUCCCAAAUAAUAUUUCGCUUAUAUAAUAAACACAUUUUUUAAUUUAUUUUUUUGUAUUUCCAAUCACUUUUUUAUCUUGCACAUAACACAUUAUAAAAAGUAUUAUAGUAAUUAUUCAAAAUAAUAUCUUAAAUAAUAUCUCAAAUAAUGUACUCUAUCCAAAUAUGUGAUAAAAAAUUAAAUAUUCUUAAUAAUGAGGGUACAGAAGAAACUCAAAUGAUUACAUAUGUGAGUUCAGUAUGGUAGAACCGCUGCCACUGCUGUUCCCAUUUGUACAUUGCUUGUAUCAUUGUAGAGAAGAGGGGGCCCGGGUCCUCACCUUUUUUUUUUUUUUGAUAAAAAACAUCAUCAUUUCAUUAAAUUUUCAGUAAUAGUAGAAAUAACAUCAACCAUAUACAUAUCCAAAUACAUUUGAAAAAUAAUUACUUUAUACUAUGAAAUCUAUAUAAUAUUACAUUGAAGCUUCAAAAAAAUUAAAAGAUAAAAUACUCAUAAACCAAAUUUGCUAAUGAACUGAUUCAAAUCCAAAUGUUAAGAUGAUAUCUAACAAGGUAGAUCUAAAAAAUUUCAGAUCUAACAACCAAAUUUGAGAAAAACAUAAAUCUAAUACAAGAAAUAGACUAACUAUAAAAAAUCUCAUAAGAAAUCUAUAGUAGAGGAGAAAACUUUCACUAGAAAUCUCUAAAGAAGAAGAAAUUCUCAGUUGGAAAUCCAUAGGAGAGUAGAAAACUUUAGCUAAAAAUUCUUAGAAGUAAAGAAACUCUUAUUAGACAAUGUUAGAAGAAACUUUAUUGUAAACACAAAAAACAAUCACCUAAUCCAUAACAAAUGACGUACUUUUAAAGGUAUGAUCUAAUGCAGGUAUGCACUAAAAUACCCCGUUGGAGACUUCCUAACUAGCGGCCAAAAGAAUGCACAGGAAAUCCUGAAUAUAAUCAUCUCCCAGAAUGGCUUAAUUCUCUUGGGAAGAAUAUGAAUGUCUAACUUACAAUUGAUAUGUAAGUACAAAACACUCCCCAAAAAUUUCAAACACCAAUAAAAAAUAUUCAAGAGGUUGUUGAAUACUGCUGUUUAAUUUUUCAUUUAACUACUGAUGACCAUUUGUCAGUGUCUAUAAGUAUUUAGCUUAGCUUUAUUCUGUUCCCGAAAUUGGAUGGCCAUUGGGAGUGGUGAUAUGUUGUUUUCGGCCCUCACGUGACUUCCCGGCCCAAUGGUGACAUGUGUAACAAUCAAAGUGCUUAUCUCCUCUGACCACGUGUCAUAGCUCCGCCCCUACUUUGCAACAUUUGCACAUUAUAAUUAGGGUAAAUAACAUAUGACGCUCAUAUGAUUUUGCAUACCCUUUAAAAUUUUAAAAUAGCCAUAUAAUCUCUCUGUGAUUUUAUGUAAAGUGAAAAAUGAAUGGAUUACAUAAUUAGUUACGAUCGACAUGUGUUUUAAAAGUGUGUACGAUAAAAUAAUAAUUUCCACUUAAUACCCCUAUGAUUUGUAUAAAUAUUCACUUUAUCCUCCAAUAUUUUUACAUUCAUCCAUGUAACCCCUGUAUGAUUUUGUAUAAGGUGGCAAAGUCGUCGUUUGAUUUAGCAUUCAAGUAAGGGCAUCACUGGUAUUUCAACUAAUGAUAUUAAAUAAACUAUUUUCCAUUAAAUUUGUAGUUUACAUCAAACUAUAAGGAUGUGAAGUGAAUAUUUUGAAAUGUUAAGGGGUUAUAUGACAAUAGAUGAAACUGUAGGGAGGUUAUUAGUAAUUUAUCCUUAUAAUUAUAAGUUAUAUAGCUUCGUGCAUGUAAUUAUAGUCAAAGAGGUUAUUUUAUAUGAUGGUUUAUGUUACGUGACCAUUAAAUGUGUAAUUACAAGCUAUAGAGAAGUUUAAUGAUGAAAAGAAAAGAAUGAGAGAGAGAGAGAGAAUGAAGAACAAAUGUUUUUAGGAAAAGGGAGUGUCUAAAAUCAUGUUCCUUGGGUUUACAUUUAGCUUGGGACAUUCUUUUCAAAAAAAACAAAGAGAAAAAAGAAAAAAAAAAAUCAUGUCGUUAUCUGACGUGGUUUAGGAAAAGAACUGACACAGACUCAGUACAAUUGUGUUCGUUUCUUAUAAUUUAGCUAACAUGAAAGGGUGGAUGGAUGACAAAACUACCUUAAUAAGGAAUCAAUAGUGUUAGUCCUAAUUUAGUUAACAUGAAGAGUAUAAAAGUUAAUCAAUUAAUAAAACAACUUUUUAAAUUUCAUGCAGUAGGUAAAGCUUACAGCAAUAAACAACAACUACUUGGCAAGUAUCAUGAAAACAUGAGCACCAUGUCAUGAUACUCCUGUUCAUGGAAGCAAUACCAGCUCUAUGCUAGUUGAGGGUGAAGAAAUGGUCUACUGGAGAAGCCACAAGAGGAAGAAACCACUUCCAAUCAAUGCAUAAAUUUCUUCUACUCAAGAGUUGCUAAAUUUCCUUGCCUUCUAUUGAAGCUAAAAUUUCAUCCACACAAACAGCUUACCAAGGAAAAUCAUCCUGAGUUCCCACCUUGGAUGACAUUGACAGGUUCGACAAUAAGUAUGGCAGACUUAAUCUUGAACACGCAACAUUAGAUGUACAAUCCUAUGCUACAGUUACAUUGCUAACAUUAUAUACAAUCCCUGUGGAAUGGCAAUGAUGAUGCCAUUCAGAUCAAGUGAUACUCUUGGUUCCCCGCUUUCUUAAAGGUAUAUCGCCGACAGUAUAUCUCAUAUAACAUACUUAAACCUAUUAGACAAAGCAAUGAAAGACCUUUAAUCCUGUUCAUCUUGUCCAGGAAGAGUUUUCUCUUUUUUAUCUUCUUUUCCAGGACCAUAAGCCUUACUACAAAUAAGGAAAUAAAUCAUGUUAAGCAUGCUUAAGCCAGCAAGAACCCAAUAGUAAUAAUCAUAGUGACCCUUAUUUAUGUUGGUUGAAAUCCAGCUUUCUUUUCCCCCUCGUUUUAAGAGUUUGUCAAUGAUGUUCAUAAGAAAACUUGCUACCAAAUUUGCCACAGACGUCUCAAGUAAGAACAAAGUGGAAGCUAUACUUUUCAUGCUUCUGGGAAACUCAGAAUAGUAGAAUUCAUUUUGUGCAACUGCACUUGAGGCUUCUGCAAAGCCAAUCAAGCAGUGUUUGUUUGGAUUGUUUCAUAUUUCUCCAAUUUUAUUUGCUUACAUCAUCUUUACAAUUUUCAAUACACCUUUUUAUCUUCCCAAUAUCUUUUUAUCUCACAUACAUCACAUCACAAAAAGUGCUACAGUAAAAAUAUCUCAAAUAAUCCCAAAUAACUUACAAUCCAAAGGAAGAAGCCAAAGAGCUGACAUGUCCACCACUGCUUCUGAAGCAUCUGAAUAUCCUUCCCUGAUUGCCAGAUUACGCCGUUUAGCCUCCACAGUUGCUGUCACUACCAUGCAUACGAAAGACAGGAGCAUUCCAAUUGCCAUUCUUUUCCUCGCUGAGAGAUGAACAUGUUUCCCCAUGAUUUUGGAUGCAAUAGGCAGGAAUACGCGGUCAUAAAGAGCAAUCCAUAUUAUGAUACUGAUUAUGGUAAACAUGCCAAAAGAACCGGCUGGUAUUUCGAAGCUUGAACCAAACCUCCGGUUCAUGGAAUUUGCUUGAAGUACAGGAAAUGAGUUCUGGCUAAUAUUUACCGACAUUAUCAUUCCUGUUGACCACAAGGGAAUCACUUUGAGAAGCGUCUUAAGGUCCUCAACUUGAUUUAUUGUGCAAAGAGUCCAGGGAUCUGCUGCCCUUCCAUCUGUUGUCAAGUCUUUCUCAGGAUCUACUAUGAUGCAGGCUUUAUUUAAGAACCUUGAAAGACAAAUCAUUCAUGUUUUCAUAAGAGAUCAAUGAACCUAUAACAAAAUAGGAACUUGUCUUUUGAAUAUUUUGCUUUCAAACAACUGUAAAGAAGCAUUCUCAGAGUCAAGAACAUUAUAACAAAUGUUGAAUUCACCAUCAGAUGAAAAUAUAUAGCAAUAGUAAUUGCAAACCCAUUUCAGCUAACAAAGACAGGUAACCUUGUAUAAGGUGGGGCUAAGAACCUAAAAUUAUUCAUAAUUUCUUAUACAUGGAUCAAGAUUGUAUUUGUAAAAUCCCCUAGUCUCAGUCUGACUCCUCAGAACGAAGCUAUUCAAUUUGGAUAAGAGAACAUUAAGAUCAAGGGAAGACUUCUGUAAAGGUGAAUAUAGACUCACCUUAGUUUUUCACUUGGAAGAAUCGAUGAACCCUUCUGGUGAUGGUAUAUCAUGUUUGAGCUCUCUGUCGAUAGAUCUAUAUGUCGUUUUCUACAAGAGGCAACAGCCACUUGAAGCAAUUCAACAAUUAUGGUUGACUUAGCCUUCAAUUUGACGUAACAGGGUGAAGCCAGGGAGAAUGACAGAGCUGAAAGGAACAUGAGAAUGACUGGAAUGCCAAAACCAACUUGCCAUCCCAUCUUUUCUUGUACAUAGACAAUGCAAGUUGAAGCAAUUAAAACAGAAAUUGUGCAUGAAGCAUAGUACCAGCUGAAAUAGCUCUCAAGAAUCCAUCCAUUCCUGCGUCCACCUGCUUUUUUCAACUGAUCAGCACCAAAAGCCAAGGAUGAAGACCUAGUUCCUCCAGCUCCAAUAGACAUAAGUCCAAAACAAGAACACAAGAGAAAGAGUUGCAAAGUUGUCGCAGAGCUACAAUUAUUGCUGGAUUCAUCACAUGGAGGCGGCCUUGUUUGGGGAAUCAUAGUUGUUAACCAUAAAAGAGCCAUACCCUUCAAAGUAAAAAUUCAUUUUCAGAUAAUUCAGUUAAAAUUAGAAAUACUAUCGUAAAUUUAAAUAACUAUGUAAUCCUUUCCACUGUAUUACUUAUCAAUAGUGUUUUGUUUUCCAACAGCAGCUGAUUAAAGUCGUGCAUCAAGCCAUCAACAAAUGGAGGCAUGAAGAAAUAUACAGAGGAAUUUAACCUCUUUAUGAUUGACUAGAAUGAUGUGCAACAAAUAAUCUUCUAAAAACCAGGGGCUCUUUCUCAGUUUUCUUUAUUGCACGUUCAACGGAGCAAGAUUUGUAACUGAAACUAAAUUUCAAAGCUCUUGUACGCACGGAGAAACUAAUGGCCUCAAGAAAUUUUUCGGAUGCCAUAUAUGGAUGGAAUCCUAUAAAUGAAGAUGAUUAUGGAGUUCAACCCCUAGAUUCUAGACGAGCUAACCUAAAAUGAGAGUUGCUAGAUGCAGACAAUAAUUCGAAAACAUGCCUUAUCUGCAAUUGUGUUACCAGCUUCAUGUUUGAACUAUGUUGUUUCUUAAAUGAAAUGAUCAUCUGUGUUGAUAAACAUGGGUUAGAAUCUAUAGAAUUUUGUCUCCAUCUGAAGACUACAACGUAAAAGAUGAUGUUUUCCUUCCUCCUUUUUAUUGAUAGAUUACUAUUUUUCGCCUGUACUCUCGCUCUACACAAACAAAAUAGCAGGGGAUGCUUGCUUAAAAGAGUCAGUCCAAUUUUACCAUACAAUUUCGGGAUGAAAAUCUUGAUGGACGAAAAUCCAAAAAUGACAAGGCAAAAAUCAAUUUGUACCUCAAUGAAUUCUAGCGUUAGGAAAAAUUAAACAUGGUUAAUAUUAAAUGUUGAUUACCAGCAAAGUUUGAAAUUGGAUUUUUACCAGAAGGCUGAAAACACAUCCAAAUAAGAUCAUCCGAAAUCGACCCACAAAUAUAUCUGCAACUAUAGCACUCAGAAGGGGCUUGAAAUUUGUUGCUGCCGACCAAAGAAAGAUUAUGUUGGAACCAGUAGUCAUCUUCAAAUGGUACUCUCUUGUCAAGUACAGAAUCAUGUUGGGCUGUAGUCCAUAGCUUGCCACCUGCUCAAAAGACUCGUUUGCUGCCCCCCCAAAAGAAAACCAUUUAAAAUCACGAGAACUAAAUCCCAUUAGCAAAUUAUUUUUACUCUGCCAAAUCAUCAGUAAACUUCAAUGAAACAAAAUUACGUAAAAUGUGUGAAUCGGAUAUAGCCCAAGAAUAAGGCUUUAGUUUCUUUUGUUCAGAUGAGAUUUCGGUCCAUCCCUCCUCAUAGAAAUUUAAGGCAAAAAAAGAAAAAAUGUUACCUAAAAUGAAUGGGAUGGUUCUGAAGCCACCCUUUGCUGAAGAACUGUUAUUAUCAUCAUCAAGUAAAGGCUUUGUGAUCGUGUUUCCAUUUUCAUCAGCUGAAUUCUCCAUCAUGUACAUAUGUGGACUUCUGCUUCUUCUCCUAUUACUGUAAUGAAAUGUGUCAAAUAUAUACUUUGAUCCUGCUUAACAAACAGAAUUAGAGUAUCGAGCAUACGAUGCAUGAUAUUUUUUUUUUUUUUUUUAGUAUUUGCUGCUGGUAGCCCAUAAGAUCAUUCAAAAGAAGAAAAACAGUGAUUGGGCCAGACAUUUGAUCUUACUUACACUCCAACGUUCUGGGGAGCAAUGAAUGUGACUGGACCAGCCAUCAUAAUACGUACAUUGUCGUGUUUUCACUUUUUAAAUGUUUUAAAGUUAGAGUCACAUUUAAAAACAAAUAAAUUAUUCUUAGCUUUUUUACUUUUUCUAUUUGAAUAUUAAAUUUAGGGUCAGUAUGAAUUAAGUGUUUUUAUUAUAACAUUGUAUUUUUAAACAUUUUAUUGUAUAAUUAUAUUUUGGGAUAUUUUUAAGUUAUUUUUUGGUAAUUUUGUUACGUGUACUUUGAGGUGUACUUGGAGUGUUUUGAGAUAUGUUUUUUAUUAUGUUUGAAAAACUAUUGCUCGAAAAAAAGUCCAAAUCCAAACAGACCAUUACUUGUCCAGUUAUACUUUUUUUUUUUUUUACGGAAACGUUAAAACUUAUAUUGAAAUCAAAGCAAGCUAUACAACUUGAGCAACGGCCCAUGCGGAGCUUUACAAUUGUGUCAUUUGACACUGAGGACUUAGAUAUUCCUCAUCUUGCACUAAAGUAGUAGCAUACAUGCUAAUUCUUCUACCUAAACCAUUACACUGAUUGCCAGCCAAGCUAAAUGAGCAAUUCAUAAACAAAGCUUUGAGCAUGUGGAUAUCCUCUAGAUGAGCAAAAAGUCUAAUAUCACGAGUCUUGUUUAUUCUCAAAAGUCGCAGCAUCUGAAGGGAAGGAACCAGCAAAUUUACCUUUGCCCAAGGCAGUUGUCUUACCUUGACCAACGCUAACUUGAUUGCUGUAGCGUAGUCCAGCAAUGUGUCUCAUGAACUUCUGUCCGUCAAGGCCCAUGCUGCAUGCACAUUAGUUCCUUGUUGAGCCAUUAUGCCUAUACCUAAUGGCUUCCCUUCGUUUGGAUGAUUGAUGUCCACUGUAACGAGCAUCAUGUUACUGUCCGCACUACCGUUCUGCUGCUCUUCUAUCCUUGCCGUUGUUUCUAGAUUGCUCAUUUGCUGUUGUCCACGGAGCACUUCAAUGUAUUCGAUCCAUUCGAAGUGAGCUUUCUGUACAAUUUCAAAAGGGUGACGACAUCUAUUGUUAAAAAUCUUCUCAUUCCUGGCUUUCCAAACUUGCCAAAGAAUGUUCACAGUAAGAGCCUGGUGCUGAGCUCCUUCUUUCCUACUUGUUGCCUCCAUGAAUCCACUCCACCAUUUGUUGAAGUUCCCUCUGUGGUCAGCAAUGCCAUCCCACUGUAUUGGUGCCAACCCUGUUCUUCUUUUGUACUUGUCCAGUUAUACACUCAUAGAAUUUUAGUGUGAGAGCCUUGUUAUAAAUUUAGGGGAAAAUGCACUUUUCAUCCUCAAAGUUUGUGGGGUUGACCAAUUUCAUCCUCAAAGUUUAACCCCAAACAUAUUUCAUCCUCAAAAUUCCUCAAAGUUUGCGGGGUUGACCAAUUUCAUCCUCAAAAUUUAAUCCCAAACACAUUUCAUCCUCAAAAUUCCAUAAUUUUGACCAAUUAAGGACAAUUGACAGGAAUUGGAGGACAAAUCAAAUAGGAAAAAAUGCACUUUUCAUCCUCAAAGUUUGUGGGGUUGACCAAUUUCAUCCUCAAAGUUUAACCCUAAACAUAUUUCAUCCUCAAAGUUCCGUAAUUUUGACCAAUUAAGGACAAUUGACGGGAAUUGGAGGACAAAUCAAAUAUUGGGACAGAACUUUGCACGUGAGAAGCACAAUUCGUCAGAUCCAACUUUAUACCCAACAUAACCGGGUCAAACCUAAUGGAUCCACUUUUUCUAACGGACAAAAAACACAAAAUAGCAAAAGGAAAAAAGCUCCUGUCUUCUCCUUCUUUCUUCUCCGUUCUUAGCCCUAAAAAUUUUUUUGGCCAAUCGUUUCAUCCAUUUUUCGAGCAUCUGCUGGUAAGAAGGAAGGCAUAGACGGCAUCCGUGGAGCAUUUUAGGUGAAGAAAAAAAUGGUAUUGCGGAAGAAAGAGCUCCACAUUUGUCCACCUCCAAAUUACGGUAUUUAUACCCAAAAUCAAUAGCUACAUUGCAUAAAGAUAUCUGUUUUUUUGGAGAAGGAAACCUGAUAUGUGGUCUCUUGUGUUUGUACUUUUUCCCCACUACAAUUUACGGCUAUUUUUUUUUUCAGAUCUGGCCAUUUGCAUGAGGUAUAAAUAAAUCAAAAAAUUUGUCUUGGUUUGAUUAUUAUAGUGUGAAUGUGGUCCCUUAUGUCUGAUGAUAGUUGCCGCUUGACUAUAAAUUUGUGAUGAGAGUGAUUAAUAAACAAUAAUACUUGGUAUAUUUUGCCGGCCAUGUGUAUCUGACCAUGUGCAUGGAAAAAGUGAAAGUGGUCCUUGUUUGGUAGUUUUUGUGUGGGUCAACAGUUUGUUGUGCUGAAAUGAUAAAGCUUUUUUUUUUUUUUUUCCCUAAAGAGUCUGAUUUAUAUUAUUUUCUUUAAUCAAAAACGGGUAGCACAUUUAUUACAUUAAGAUGUCACCAUGGAGGCCUCAUUUCAUAUACUCCUGAUCCCCAUUACGAAGGUGGAGAUUUGUGUGUUUUUGACUAUGUUGAGAGUAUAGGUCUAAGUGUUUUCGAAGUGGAUAGAUUAACUGAGAGUGCUGGUGUAUAUGGUCAUAAGGUGUACUAUGGUUGGGAAAAUAACACCUUUAGGAGGAUAGAAAGCAGUAGGGAGUUGAAUGGUUAUGUUAAGGGGGAGGUUGGGCCAACUAAGGAAGUUAACUUAUAUCUUGAAGUAUCUUUUCAUGAAAUUCUAGUGCAACAACUUGGUUAUGAUCCGUAUGAGAUAGAUGAGACAGAAAAUGAACUCCAAAAUGGUGAUGGUAACAAUAAUAUUAGGGAUGAAGGUCAAGGAAGGUGUGCUGCUAAUAAUUGUGAUAAUGAUUCCAACGCAAGUGAUGAGACUUUUUUUUCAGCUAUUGAUUCAGAUUAUGAAAUAGACGAUGAUGCUGAUGAUGGUAUAUUUCAUGAUAAUGUUGACAAAAAUACUGAAUGGUUGGGAGUAGACAAUCACAGGAAAGAAAAUGUGGUUCCUGAUCCUUUGAAUGAAACAGAGAAGGUUCCUGAUUCUGAUGAAACAGAAUAGGUUCCUGAUUCUGAAUCUGAUUUUGAAAGCAUUCAUGAGUCUGAUGAUGAAGAGUCUAAAUUGAGGUCUCGUACUUUUGAUCCUAAGCAUAUUGACAAUCCAAAAUUAGAGCUGUACAUGUCCUUUACAAGUCUGAAACUUUUCAAGACUGCCGUACAUAAUUAUAGUGUGAAACAAGGCAGGCCUUGUAAGUUUGUGAAACAAGAUAGAGUGAGGGUGAGGGCUAGAUGCAGAAAUAGUGAAUGUAAUUGGGUUAUAUAUGCUAGAAAAUUAAGUGGGGAUGAAACUAUUCAAAUAAGAACAUUUGAAGAUAAUCACACAUGUGAUUUUACAUAUGAUAACUCUCUUGUGCAUUCUGGAUGGGUAGCUAAGAAGUACUGUGAAGAGUUUAGGUGUAAUCCUAAAUUAGAUUUGGAGCAUUUUAGGAAGACAGUAAUGAAAGAAAAUAUGUGCUCCUUCACAAAAAAUCAAACAUAUAGGACAAGGAGAAAAACAAUGAAAAUCGUUCAGGGCAGUGAAAAAGACCAGUACAGCAAAUUAGGAGUUUAUAUGCAUGAAAUUCUAAGAUCCAACCCUGGUAGCACUGUUAUAAUGAAAACUGUUGAUGGUUUUAAAGACUCAAAAACAGGGAAAGGCAGAUUUGAGAGGCUGUACAUCUGUUUUGCUGGAGUGAAGCAUGGUUUCCUAACUGGAUGUAGGCAGUUUAUUGGAGUAGAUGGUACUUUUUUGAAAGGAUCAGUAGGAGGAGUUUUGCUAGCAGCUGUUGGAGUUGAUGCCAAUAAUGGCAUUUUUUCAAUAGCAUAUGCUGCAGCAGAGGGUGAAAGUAAGGACUCAUGGUGCUGGUUCUUCAAACUAUUGAAAGAAGAUUUGAAGAUUGAAAAGGAUUAUGAGUGGACAAUAAUGAGUGACAAACAAAAAGGUCUAAUUGAAGCAUGUGAUAUGAUUUUCCCAAAUGCAGCCCACAGAUUUUGUGUGAAACACUUGCACAAUAACUUUUCAUCUGUUGGGUUCAAAGGAGAAGGUUUGAGGAGAGCGUUAUGGACUGUUGCCAAAGCAACAACACCAGCCCAAUUCAUUAGCAGAAUGGAAGCAAUGACUGAAAUUGAUAUAGAGGCAGCCAAGUGGUUUGAUGACAAACCACCAAGUCAAUGGAGCAGAGCUUAUUUUAGCACUCAUCCUAAAUGUGCUAUGUUAUUCAAUAACAUUUGUGAGUGCUUCAACAGCAAAAUUCUUGAUGCUAGGGAGAAGCCAAUAAUUGAGAUGUUUGAAGCAAUACGAUUGUACAUGAUGCAGAGAAUGCAAAAAAAUAGGGAUCUGGCCAAAGAGAAGUGACAGACUUAUCCUUACUGCCCCAGAAUUCUUCACAUUAUGCAGAAAAAUAUAGAUAGAGCACCUGACUGUUUUUCAUUCAAGUCAAAUGAUGAUCUUUAUGAAGUCAGUUGCCCAUAUGGUGACCAAUAUGCAGUGAACAUCAAGGAGCAAACAUGCUUUUGCAGAAAAUGGGAACUAACAGGUAUUCCCUGUCCCCAUGCCAUUGCUGCAUUGUGGAUGGCUAAAAAGGAUCAUCUGCUAUAUGUUUCAAAAUGGUAUACAGUGGAGACAUAUAUGAAGUGCUAUGAAGGAUCAGUGUAUCCCAUGAAUGGAGAAAGUGAAUGGGGGUUUACUGAUGUUGGUGAAGGUCCUUUGCCACCCUUAUAUGGGAGAGCACCUGCAAGGCCUAAGAAGCUGAGAAGGAGAAGUGCAGAGGAGGUUCAACAAGUCAAGGAAAAAACUAAGAAGAAGGUGACAAGAGUGGGACAGAUUAACAAGUGUAGAUACUGUCAUCAAAGGGGACAUAAUAUGAGGUCCUGCAAGCUUCUCAAAGAUGCUCAAGAUCCUGCAGUUGCAGAAACUGAUAUUAGUUCAAGCCAAGUUGCUGCUUCUACCAACAAUCCAGCUAGCCAAGAUGGAAAAAAGGUUGUAAGUUGUUUUGAUGACUUGUUAUAGCUAUCUUUGCUAUUUGGUAUAUAAAUGACAUAUUUUCCUUUUAAACUGUAGGGAACAAAGAAAACCAAGAAGCCUGUUGCUGAGUCUUCAAAUAAAAGGGUAGAAAAAUCUGCUGCAUCUUUUGAUUUUUUUGUCUUUAUGCAAUUUGACUUUUGCUACCUCACUGUUUUGUGCAGAAGAGGCAUAGACGUACAAGAAGAGUUGCAGCUGCAGUUUGUAAUGAUGAUUCAAACACUGAACAUCAACAGGAUAUUGAGCCACUGGUUGAGAUUGAGAUAACAUCCUCUGCCCCAGAUCAAGUAGACCAGGAUAUGUACGAAGUGUUUGGGCUGUCAAGGUCUCAAGUGAAAUAUAGCACCAAGGAAGCCAGAACACAAACUAAAAAACAAGUACAGAUGCCCUUCAGAAUUAGAGAUGUUCAUAUGCAUGUUGUUGCUGCUGCCAAGGCAGAUUUAAGUGUUCCUAGUUCAUCUAGAUUGAAGGGAAAGGAGAAACUACUGUAAUAGGAGAAACAACAUGCUGAAUUUUCUUCAAGCCAAGCUGUUUUUGUUCAAGCCAAGUUGCUACUUUUGUAAUUAGUGAAUGACUUUUGUUGUUUCAACUUUUGCCUUGCCUAGUAAUGAUGGAAGUGCAGGCUGUAAUGUGAUAGCUGGCUUUAUUUCAUUUAUGGACCCAUGUUCAACAACAGUCAUGUAGUUUGCUUUAUUUCAUUUGGAAUGCACUUUAAUUGUAUUGAAGUUAUGAUAUACAUAUAUGGCAGCUGUUUUCAUGUUCAUUUGUUUGUAUUAUUUGCAUUUAUUUUUCAACUUGGUUUAUCAGUACAUGUGGGACAAUCUUGGUUUAUCAGCUUAGUUGCCAGCUUGGUUUAUUUGCAUUUGUUUUCCAGCGUGGUUUAUUUGCAUCUGUUUGUAUUAUCAGUACAUGUGGUUUAUCAGUUCAUGGCUGUUUUAUAUAUAUGAUAUGAACAACACUUUGACAAGAACCAUUUUUUUACACUCAACGCAUAGCUUUACAAACAAAAUAAAUUGCAGAGUUCAUAAAUUGCAUUGUUGCCAAAUACAUUUCCCUUCCUAAAUCUCACCUUUUACAUAAAUUGCAGAGUUCAUUUGGAGCCUUUGUACAAACAAAAUAAGUCCCUUUCUAUACCCUGUAAUUGGAUAUUACUUCAUAGGGAAAAAUGCAACUCUCGUUCCAACAACAAACACAGCCAGCUUCAAAAUGUUCUUCUGCAAUUUUAGCAAAAUCACCCCAGUGUUAGCAGCAACUUACCUCCCUUUACUUUUCCUUCGCCUUUACUGCUCCAACUCAGUACUAGCAAAACCACCAAAAGCACAAUUAUCGUAAUAAAAAAUUUCUCCCUCUUAUGCAUUCUUUCAACUUGUUCUUCCAUUUUGUUAAUCUUUUUCAGCAAACUAGGAAUGAGAACUCUCCCUCUUGGACAAAUUGGCUCAUCAACCCAUUCGAAGUACCUGUAUCUCUCGGGUCUCUGCUAUAACAAUAAUGACAUUUCAAAGAAAUUAGUUAGCUAAAUUAACACAUUGAAGGACCAACAUUUUUAGACAAAUAUUUCUUACCGGCCACAGAGAGCAACCAAGGAAUCUUCUUCCGGGAUUCUCGCCGCGCCAACAGGUGCUCAUUUUUGUUCUUAACCCACAGUUGCAGAAUGGAGUCGAUGAACCACUGGAGACUUCAGAACUUCUGCUCCUCAUUUAGGCAAAAAUGAGAGCACAGGGAGCUCCACUGCCAGAUGCUCUGAGGAUGAAAUGUUUAAAGCUGCAAAGAUUGGCAAAAAAAUUUUGGGGUUCAAAGGCAGAGGGAAAAAGGACAACAAUGAAGCUUUUCGUCCGUCCGUUGCAUUUGUUCCUUUAAAGUUAGCUCCAUUUGGUUUUACCCAUUUUUGUUGGGUAAAACCGUUGGUUGUAACGGUCAAUUGGAUAUUUCCCGUCAAUUGUCCUUAAUUGGUCAAAAUUACGGAACUUUGAGGAUGAAAUGUGUUUGGGGUUAAACUUUGAGGAUGAAAAGUGCAUUUUUCCCUAAAUUUAGCCACAAACAUCUCAUUUAGAUGUAACGAUUAUAUAUUCGGUGCAAAAAUUGAAUGCUCAAAUUGACUCAAAUUAUGAGAUGGUGGAAGUAACACUUUCUAAAUCAUCCAUAAGUAUUGAAUAACACAUUUGCUGCUGCUCUUGGACGCUGCCAAAUUUCCCGAAACAAGCUCUGGUCAUAAUUCACCCGAAACAUACUUUCAAAUAGAUAUUGUUGAAAGGAGGAAGAUGCUUUUGAGAAGGGGUGAAUUGUGAGUGAUUUUUUGGGGAUAAUGAGAGGGUAUGGUGGAGAUGAUGACAAGAGGAUAGAGCUUGUUAGGGUUUUAGGUUUUUUUUUUCCAUGAUAAAUCGUGAUUUUGUGAGAGAGUUUUUAUUUUAAUCGGUUUUGAUUAUAGAGAUUAAGUUUAUCCGCCCGGUUAAUCGAUUAAUUAACUUAACAUGGUCCGAGUUGGGUUGUUUCAGGGUUUGGUUUAUCAAGGGACACUUGGCAAAAUUAGAAGGAAUGGGAUAGGAUGAAUGUGAAACAGGUGUGGCACAGAAGAUUCGUUGUAGUUAAAUGCAAUGGUUAGUUAAGCAGAAUUUUAGUUCAUGGGAAUUGCUUUAUUCAGUUUCUUGGCUAUAAAUUUUGUAACUCAGAUAACUCAUUGGUCAAGUGGAAGCCAAGUUGAACUUUAAGUUGAUAUUCGAGUGAUUAGCCAACUAAAUUCAAUGCAGCAAGUGUUUUUAUUAAGCUCAACUCUAAAAUUCAUGUGUUUGAAGAUUAAAUUUAUAGAUGACUGAGACCAUUAUCAUCAAAUAUAACCAUGCAUUGCGAAGAGGCAAAACUACAGAGUAUAUAACGUAAAGUGGAGUAAGGGAAAAAAAAUCAUCCAAAAUACAGGGAAAAAAAAGAUAAAUGCAGAAUCAUGUCUCCACAUCUAAUAUAUAUGUACUUUUUUUUUUUUACUUAUCAUCAAGUGCAUUGAAGCCUCAUGAUGUAGAGGUUCUGAAUUCAAAUUUUUCUUCUCGCUUCUUAAAUCCUACCAUACACUAUUGAAAAAGUUUUUUUUAAACAGAGCAUCAUGAAAUAUAACUUCUAGAAAUAACAACUUUAAGACCAUAGGUCUACUUACAUGCAUGUAAUUAUGAAACUACAGAGUUGAUUGUGUCCAAAAAAAAAAAAAAAGAAGGAAAAAAUCCAUAAUUAAAUUGCAUACAAAUAUUGAGGUAAUAACUUUGAUGUUUGUGGGCUGCCAAAAUAAACAUGAAAAACCAUUGCGGUAAAUUAAUAUAGAAAAUGUUGAAAUAAAAACUUAAAUUAGUGGAGGUCUAGUUGGUAUAGUGGUGUAUUACUUGUAUAAUAAGAAAGAUGACUUCUAGAAAACACGUGCAUCAUGUGUUUUUCUUUAUUAUGGCUGUGGAUGAAGCCAAAACUUGUGGUCAACUAGAUUAAGAAUUCUGCUGAGAUGUAUGCAAAGAAAACAAUAAAAAUUCUAUUGUUGAACAAAACAAUAAAAUUCAGCUGAGAUUCAUGCAAAAAAGAGGAAAUUAGGAAAGAAAAUAGGCAAAUCAUCGAUUGUGGAAUACUCAUGGUGCUAAGAGUAAUUAGUCUUCUUUGAAAUAAAGAGAAAACAUAGAAGAUGUUCCAAUUGCAACUGUAAUCAAGAACCAAAUGCAGCAACCUGAGAAAAAUUCCUAAAACGAUAUGAGGCCGGAAACUUUGCCACAAGGUUAGCUAAAGAACAGCGACACUCAUAGAUGAAACUGGAAAAAUUGCCCGAGGAAGUGGCCGAGGCGAAAUGAAAUUUAUUGCUGCUGUGCAGAAAAUGAUAGUGUUGCUGGCAGCACUGCCAUAUCCAUAUGAUAAACUCUCUCCAAGUAUACAAGUUUUCUCUAUCUGGAUCUAAACUCUCCUCCUUCUCUCUAACUUUUCUUUUCCAAGAGCAAGGAAGGCCAAUUGGUCUCCUUUGAUCUUCCUCCCUUCCAUGUCUUUUUUUCUUUUGUUUUUUGUAUUUAUAAUAAAGUCUCUCCUAGAAUUUUUAGUGAGAGUUUCUUCUCUCUUAGGUCCAAACGAGAGUUUUUUCCUCUUCUAAAGUUUCCCAGUGAGACUUUAAUUUCUCUUAAUAAUUUCGAGUAAGAGUUUUCUCCUAUCCUAGAAAUGAAAGCUUUUAUAGUUUUUCUAUUUCUUAUAUUAUAUCUAAGUUUUUUCAAAUUUGAUGGUCGAAUCUGAAAUUUCUUAGAUCUAACUAGUCAGAUCUUACCUUAACAUCAUUUGAAACAAUUCAUUCGAAGAUCUAGAAGGAAGCAAGCAAUACCGUCAGAAUUAUACACAAAUGAUCUUGGAGUUAUAAGUGUUUUAUCUAUUUUAAUAUUUUUAGAGUUCCACGAUGUAAUACUGGAUUGAUUUUCUAGAUCAAUGGUAUCGACUAUUUGGUCAAGUAUUUGUUUUUCAGAUGUAUUUCAGAUCUGUUUGUAUCUAUGUAUGGUUAAUGAAAUUUCUACCAUUAAUACAGAUUUAAUGAAAUGAUGAUGUUUUAUCCAAAAAAAAAAAAAAUCUUUCCUAGUACAUAAUUAUGUUUGGUGAGAGCCCAGAAGUUGCAAAUCCAAGAAAAGCUUUUUUUUGGUCAAAUUUUGAUUAACAAAAUGUUGAAUAUUAAUUGAGGAGUAAUAAUGAAAAAAAAGUUUCUUUAAUGGUGGAUAUUUUUUAAUCAAAUUACAUUUUUCUUAAACUGCGUGCAAAAUUCAACAUGACAUAUAAAAUAAACUCCCUUAAAGUGGCAGACUCGCUAUCUUAAAUAUGUAAACAUUGUGUUGUAGGAGUAUUCAUGUGCCAAUUGCCAAUAGCAUCAGAUCUAGAGAUACAAAUCCUAUACAUCGAUGACAUUGCUAACAACACUAGAUCAGCCUGACCUUCGUUACCAGCCCUGCGCAAUGACAUUGAUGAAAUCAUACAGGUCAACUGAUCUUUUUGAUUCCCAGCCUUAUGCAGGUAUAAUGAUGACAAUCUAACAUAUGCUUGAAGGACCACCCACUCUAGUCAUCCUGUUUUGCCAGGACCAUAAGCUUUGCUGCAAAUGAGGAAAUAAAUCAUGUUAAGCAUACUUAAGCCAGCAAGAACCCAAUAGUAAUAAUCAUAGUGACCCUUAUUGAUGUUGGUCGCAAUCCAGCUUUCUUUUCCUCCCAGUUUUGAGAGUUUGUCAAUCGCGUUCAUAAGCAAACUUGCAACAAGAUUUGCCGCAGACACCCCAAGUGACAACAAAGUGGAAGAUAUACUCGACAUGCUUCUGGGGGACUCGGAAUAGUAGAACUCAUUCUGUGCAACUGCACUUGCAGCUUCAGCAGCGCCGAUCAGGAAAUAUUGGGAAGAAGCCAAAGUACUGACAUGUCCACCACUGCUUCUGAAUCAUCCGAAUAUCCUUCCCUGAUAGCCAGACUACGUCGCUUAGCCUCCACUGUUGCUGUCACUAUCAUGCAUACAAAAGACAGGAGCAAUCCAAUUCCCAUUCUUUCCCUUGUUGAGAGAUGAACAGGUUUUUCCAAGAUUCUUGAUGCAAUAGGCAGGAUAAUGCGAUCAUAAAGAGCUAUCCAUAGUAUGACGCUGAUAAUGAUAAACAUGCCAAAACAACCUGCUGGGUAUUUCAAAGCUCGAACCAAGUUUCCUGUUCAUGGAUUUUGCUUGAAGCACAGAAAAAGAGCCCUGGCUGACAUUUACGGACAUUAUCAUUCCUGUGGACCAUAUGGGAAUUACUUUGAGAAGCGUCUUAAGGUCCUCAACUUGAUUUACUGUGCAAAGAGUCCAAGGAUCAGCUGCUAUUCCAUCUGUUGUCAAGUCCUUCUCAGGAUCUAUUAUGAUGCAAGCUUUAUUUAAGAACCCGAAAGGACAAAUUCUUGAAGUUCUUGUAAGAGAUUAAUGUAUGUAUGACCUAAUAGCAAUUGUUCUUUUGAAUGUUCAAACUUCAACAACUAUGAAAGAACGUUCUUAGAGUCAAAAACAUUAUAACAAAUGUUGAAAUCAACACCAGGGGAAAAACAAUGCAGUCGUACUUGUGAACCAAUUUCAUCUACCAAAGACAGGCAUCCUCGACUAAACAAGUACUAAUAAAUUGUUGCUAACUACCUGAUUUUUCUUAUGUACAUAGAUAAUGAGAGAAUUUUUGUACUUCCCUAGUCUAGGUCCUGAGAACGGAGCUAAUCAAUUUCAACAAGAAAACAAUAUGAUCAAGGGAACGCUACUCUAAAUUUGAACAUCCACUCACCUUAGUUUUUCACUUGGAAGAUUUGAUGAACCCUUCUGGUGAUGGUACAGCGUGUUUGAGCUCUCUGUUGAAACUUUUAUACGUUCUUUUCUAUUAGCGGCUACAGCCACUUGAAGCAUUUCAACCAUUAAGCUUGAAUUAGCCUUCAACUUGACAUAGAAGGGUGAAGCCAGGCAGAAUGACAGAGCUGAAAUGAACAUGAGCGCGACUGGAAUGCCGAAACCAACUUGCCAUCCCAUGUUGUCUUGUAGAUAUACAAUACAAGUAAAAGCGAUUAAAACAGAAAGUGUGCAUGAAGCAUAGUACCAGCUGAAAUAGGACUCCAGAACCCAUCCAUUGUUCUGUCCACCUGCUCUUCUCAACUGAUCAACACCAAAAGCUAAGGAUGAAGACCUAAUUCCUCCACUUCCAAUGGACAUUAGUCCAAAACAAGAACACAAGAGAAAGAGUUGUGAAGUUGUUGUAGAGCUACAAUUAUCAUUGGAUUCAUCACAUGGAGGCGGCCUUGCUUGUGGAAUCAUAGUUGUCAGCCACAAAAGAACCAUUCCCUUCAAAGUAAAAAUCAUUUUUCAGAUCAUUCAAUCAGUGUUAGAAAUGCUACACUGAAUUCAGAGAAUGUGGUAACAGAUUGGUCAGCAGCAUGAUGCUUUCCUACCACUGCAUGACAAGAAUGAAGUGCAAGAAGCAGGUUCGCUUUCAGUUUUUAUUUUUUCAGCCCAUAUCUAAGAGCUAAUGUUUUUAGUUCUCUUCAUUGCAAAGAAAUAUAGAUGGAGGUUGAUUUGUAAUUGAAAUUAAAAUUUAAAGCUGCUGUGUGUACAGAGAAACUAAUGCCCUCCGUAAUUUUUCGGAUGCCAUAUAAAGUUGGAAUCCUCUAUAUGGAAGAUGAAGGACUUGAAGCCCAAAAAAAUAGAAGCGUUAACAAAGAAUGAGAGUGGCUGGAACCAGAAUGACACCAGAAUUUCUAACACACGCUUUGAUGAUCAGCAAUGUUCCUAAGAAACGAGAGAAUUUUGUUAGUGCGUAAAGAUUACGAAGUGAAAGAAUAAAAAAGAUAUAUUUUUCACCUGGUUAACUUUUCCAUCCCUUUCAAACAAAACCACCAGCAGGAAAAUAAUACACACCACAAUUUACUAACAAUGGCGUGCCAUUCAAAGGACAUCGCAGCUCGCUCUUCUCACAUGAUAAUCUGUAACAUUAUUGUCCAAUUUCUUCUUCUUCCUUUUUUCUUUCCGUUUUUUUCUUUGGCAUGUAUAGCACAAGAUUUGCAACUGUAUCCUCUGGACAUGCCUCUAAUUGAUACCAAAUUCCUCACAAGAGUAAUCCAAUUAAAUGGCCCGUUUGACCCAAAAAAAGAAGGCAUAGACAAGAGUUUGAUGUUUCUCAAGAACGGGAGAUAAUCCAACCAUAUUCUGGGAGAAAAAGAAUAGAUUCAAAAACAGAAAAGAGUGCCUUUUCUCCCUCUUCUACUUUACGAUUCAGUACGAACUGGAAAUAUGUUAAACUACAUCCAAUAAUACAUAAUAAUUGCCAAGAAUUCGAUAUGAUCUGGAUUUUCAUGUAGAUUGCUAUCUGGGUUAUAUCCCCCAGAAAAAAACACAAAAAAAAAAACCCAACCAUCAAAAAUAUAAAAUAAAAUCAUAUCCACCAGUAAAGCAAAAAGCUAAGGGUACUUUCAAGAAGUAGUCCAUUUUACCAUACAAUCUGCAGUUGAAAAUGACACGAUGGAUGAACAAGCAAGAAAUAAGCACACAUUGUACAAUGAUGUAUUAAUUACUGAGACCAGUAAAGUUUGUAAAUGUAAUACUUACCAGAAGGCUAAAAAUGCAUCCAAAUAAGAUCAUCCGAAAUCGACCCACAAAUGAAUCUGCAACUAUAGCACCAAGAAGGGGCAUGAAAUUUGUUGCCGCUGACCAAAGAACAUCUCUAUGUUGGAUCCAGUUGCCAUCUUCAAAUGAUAUUCUCUUGUCAAGUACAAAAUCAUGUUAGGGUGUAGCCCAUAGCUUGCCACCUGCUCAAAAGACUCAUUUGCUGCCCCCAAAAAAAAAAAAAAGCAAAAAGCAAAACGAUCAAUUCAAAGUAGAAAAUUUUAUUUUAAUAGUUCAUCACUGAACUUCAAUUUAAUAAACUUACACAAAAUCAGAAUCAGAUAUGGCCAAAGUGAAUAAGGGUCGUGUAGUUUCUUGUUUGCAAAAGGACGCUUCAGUCCUCAAACCCUCCUUUCUCCACAUUCGAGAAGAGAAAAGAAAAGAAAAGAAAAGAAAAAUGUUACCUAAAAUGAAUGGCAUGGUUUUGAAGCCACCCUUUCCUGCAGACGCAUCAUGAUCAUCAUCAAGUAAAGGCUUGGUGAUCAACUUUUCACAUUCAGCAGCAGAGUUCUCCAUCAUGUAUAUGUGGACUUCUGCUGUUUCUUCUGUUUCUUCUUCUUCUGCAAUGAAAUGUGCUGAGCAUUUAAAUUGAUCUUGUCCAACAAACACAAGAAACACCCUGAGGGCGAAGGCACUGAGCAGUGAAACAAUGAAAAUUCCAUUUCAAGGAACUGCUGUUGUUUGUGGUGGUCCAUAAGAUCAAACAAAAGAGUUGAAAAAAAAAGGAAACAAUGAAGUCUGGACCGCUGAACAAUGAAGUCUGUUUGUUUUUUCUUGUUUGUGGUGGUACAUUUCUCUUGUUUGUGUCUGGGUUAAAAGUGGAUCCCUUACGUUAAAAGUGUCGAACUCGAAUGGCCGGGGAGCAGAGCAAUGACAUCUGGUACCGCUGAUACCGCUGGGUUAUUCCAACUGUCCAGAUUGAAUUACACAAUUUUCACUAGACACCCUCUUAAAAACUAGUAGCCCAAAGUUAACAAGUAUAUUCUAGUGUAUAGAUUAAUUACCUUAAAGUAAAAUGUAACAUACGUUAAUUGAAAUUUGGGUAAAUUAAUGGCAAAUUCUGUGGACACUUGGUGAAAAUAUAGUUUAAAAGAUGGAAAAAUUCCUUAGUUUUUCAAUACACAGUAAUUGGACAUUUUUUUUGUGUUCAGGGCGAAAAUUAAAGUAAGAUUACCAGUUGAGGGCAUCACAUGUCAGUUUUACACAAAAGUGAAAUUUAAUUAAAAAAAUAUAUAAAUGCAAGACAGGAAGAUCAAUGUAAAACUAUGCAUCUAAAUGAUAAAUCAUUCCAAUACAUUUGUUUGGUUCAGUGUUAGGAAUGUAUAUCAUUACUAUAGUUGAUGUUUGGUUCGUUGGCUCUUUGUAAAUGAGAUAUAAAAAAUUUUCACUAAUUAAAUAAAUUAGUAUAAAUGUAUUAGUAAAUUUAGUAUAACUAAUUAAUAAUUUCUAUUAAUAAACAUGUAUAAUUAUUAGUAUAAUUGAUAAUAUCAAUUAUAUUACAUAGAUUAAUAUACAUUAUAUAAUACAUAUAACUAAUAAUAUCAUUAUUAUAAGUUUGUAACUAAUUAAAUUAAAUAUUAUACAUAUAAUUAAAUAUAAAUAUACAAAUGUUAUAAUAUAAAUAUAUAAUUAUAAUGAUAUAAUAUAUAUAAAUAUUAAUAUAUAAAUAUAAUGUAUAUUAUAUAUUAAAUAUCAUUAUUAAUACCUAUUAGUAUAUUUAAAAUAAUAAAUAUAAAUAUAAUUAUAUAAUUUAUUAAUAUUAUAUACAUGUAUAUAUUAUAAUUAUAUGCACAUAUAAUAUACAGUUAUAAAUAUACAUAUAUAUUAUAAAUAUAUUAUUAUAUAAUAUUCAUAAAUUUAUAAUAUAUAUUAUAAAAAUAUACUAAUAUUAAUAUAAUUUAUAAUAUACAUUUAUAUGUAUAUAUUAGUUAAAUAUAAUUAUAAUAAAAUAAUUAUAUUUAUAUAAUAUACUAAUAUUAUAAUAAAAUAUAUAAUUAUAUAAUAUAUAUAAAUAUUAAUUAUACUAAUAUUAUAUAUUAUAAAGUAUAUUAUAUGUUAAAUAUAAUUUUUAUUAUAUUAUAUAUUAUUAUAUACACAUAUAUAUUAUACUAGUUGAUGUGCGCCUCGCGCUUCGCGCGAAGACAUUAUUUCUGCAAUGGGGUUAGUUUGUUAGUUUUGCUGGAACUCAUGAAUAAAGUGUAUUUACACUGCAAAAGAUACUGCAUUGACAAAAGUAGUAUUAAUAUCAGGAAAGGCAGAACUGGUCUAACAACAGAGCACCAUCGCACUGCAUGAUUAAUAUAUGCAUAUUUUUGAAUUAUCCUGUCCAGCACCAGCCUAGGAUGACCAAAUGUUUCUGUGCAAUUCCACAGAUGGCCACAUACAGAAGGUGCCAAUUGUCCAGAUACAAUGAUCAUUCACAACCAUGCAAUUGUCCAGCACCAGCCUAGGAUGAUGAUCAAAUGUUUCUGUGCAAUUCCACAAUUGGCCACACACAAAAGGUGCCAAUAGGGGAUCAAAUUCACUAUUCUCAAAUAGGUGAACCAAGGGCAGGAUCGGUAUAUAAGGGCACCACCGUCAAAAGCCAACCCAACAACAAAUGCCAGCCAUAAAUUCCUCAAAACAGCACACAAUAACCACACCACCCAUGUUCCAAAAUUACAAGACUACCCACACACUUAAGGUGCCAAUGAGGGACCAAAAUCACUGUUACUAAGACCAUUCACUCUUUAUACUAUUAGGAAUUAUAUGCACAUAUAAUAUACAUUUAUAAAUAUAUAUAAAUAUAUAAAAAUAUAUUAUUAUAUAAUAUUAAUAAAUUUAUAAUAUAUAUUAUAUAAAUAUAAUUACAUUUAAUUAAAUAAUUAUAAUAUAUAUUUAUAUAAUAUAUUAUAUAUGUCUAUAUAAUAAUUAUAAAUAUAUUAUAUAAUUAUACUAAUUUUAUAAUAUAAUAUAUAAUUAUAAUUAAAUAUUAUAAUUAUAAUAUAUAUUAUAUACAUAAUUAUAUAUACAUGUAUAUAAUUAUCUAUUAAUUUUUUUAAUGGGCGACGGGACGAGUCCCAUUUCUAAAUGGGAAUCAGACUUGGCUUUUAUCCAAAACCCUUCAAGUUAUCAGGGAAUUGAGGAAUUCUAAAUUUUUAGGUAUGAUUCUAAAAUCCCGAUUUCGAUAGUAGUAAUCCAAACAACAAUUAUGGGGUUUAUUCCAAUUUUCCAUUCUGAAACCCUCUUACCAAACACCACCUUAGACUUCUAGGAAUAACUUGACAACUUAUGGAUGGCCAAAAUAAAAUCAACUGUUAUAAGUUGAGUGAACUAUGAAUCACGCCGCAGCUAACUCUGGUGGAUGCGGGCUACUGGAUUAUGAGGAAAUGGGCCAAUGAAAGUAGCACCAAGAGGUAGCACCAAGGGGUUUAUUCCAAUUCUCCAUUCCGAAACCCUCUUACUACAUGAUUCUUACUUUACUCUCGAAUUUUAUUUUGUAUGACUUAACCCUGUGACAGACAAAAAUACCCUUCUACUACACUGAUUUUUUUUUUCUCUUUUAAGUUUUAAUCAAAAUUAAUUUUUUUUUCAAAUUCUUAUUUUUAAGCAACAAUGAAAGUAGCACCAAGAGGUAGCACCAAGGGGUUUAUUCCAAUUCUCCAUUCCGAAACCCUCUUACUACAUGAUUCUUACUUUACUCUCGAAUUUUAUUUUGUAUGACUUAACCCUGUGACAGACAAAAAUACCCUUCUACUACACUGAUUUUUUUUUUCUCUUUUAAGUUUUAAUCAAAAUUAAUUUUUUUUUCAAAUUCUUAUUUUUAAGCAAAUAAAAAAUUUUGCUAACAAAAACUUAAAGAUAUCCAUUCUCUAAUUUCUAAUUAUGAAGAAAAUAUAUAGAUUUUUUUGCAUAAUUAGUUAAUUAUAAAUAAAUAUCAUUGGUGUAUUUCCUAAUAUACAUACUCCUCUCAUUUGAAUCUUUACCACUAUCAAUUACAGUACUUAAAAUUAAACCACAUGUUAAAAUUCAAUGAAAAAAGGAAACAAAAAUUUCUCCAUUAUUGUUAGAUCUAAAUUUCUCUGAUGGAUAUUUUUUUAUUAGUUUUUUAGGUCGGCAAUUUCUUCAUUAUUAUUAGAUCUAAAUUUCUCUUUAAAUUUGAACCAGAUUUAAUCAAAUUUUAUUGUCAGAAGAUAUGCAUCGAUGUAUGGGAUUACAUUGAUUCAUCCGAAUGCAAGAUUUAUAGGAGCACCAAUGUUAUCUUUAUUUCUAUUGAUUUCCUAGAUCUAUUGUAUCUAUUGAUUUCAUAUCUAUUUGUAUUUGUGUCAUGUUUGUUUGAUUUAUUUUUUGCCAUUAGUGGAGAUUUAUUGAAUGAAAUGAUCUUUUUUUUUAAAAAAAAUCUAUACUUAUAAAAUGGAUUCAAAAAAUAAUGCACAGAAACAUAAUAAAUUUUGUCGUUUAUUAAAAAUUGUGUUGAACAAUCAACACUGUUUAACUAAGUUCGAGUUACAUUUAUAUUAUCUAUCAAUGACAUUGUGGUAUAAAAGAAUGGAUUAAUUUUUUAUGUACUGACAAUGUAUUAGCUUUUUAUGCACUAACACUGUAGUGAUUUUUUUACCCUAACAGUUUGAAUAUAUAUCACAUAUGCAUGAUUUAAAUUUUAAAUUUAAAUUCAUGUUACGUGACAUGAUUUAAACCUACUAGUAUAAAAAAAAAUUACACACUGACCAUGUAUAAAAAAAAAGUUAUCCUAAAAGAAAAUCCAAACGAAAGAAACCGCCAUGUCAAGCUAGCCAUUUGAGGCUAUGACUUCGUGCAACCUCAAAGCCAAUAGACUCUCUUUUGAGACACAUACAUCAAAAAGGGUUAAAAUGCAAAAUGUUGAAUUAUCUUUAAAGAUUAUGAGAUUUCCAUAAAUUAAUGGAAGAGUAAUAUUAGUAGGGAGAAGUUGUCAAAUUUGUCCUACGGUUUAUGACAUUUUCUCUUGGGUCCCUUGUAGUUUUGAAUAUUAUAUUUACUCUCCUAAUUUUCAAUUUCAAUGUAACAGUGUCAGCCCUUACCUAUAAACUAUUGAUAUGAAAUGCUAAAAAGAAUUUUCAUUUCCAAAUUACCAUUAUAUGGCUUACAGGUAAUUAGUGUAACAAAUUCAACGAAUACAAAUAACUUGAAAUGCACCAAAUAGAUGAAAGAAAUUUAUAACAAAAAAUCAUGUAUGGCAGGCUAAAAGAGUUAAAUAGGUUAUAACAAACAGCAGACAGAAAUGAUAUCAAAUUGUUAAUGCUUGAAAUACGUAGGUUCACAAGAAAUUGAAAUAGCAAAUUUAACUUUAAAAGGGCUUGAAAUUUCAAAACAAAAAAGGGAGAAAUAUAUAUUCCAUUAGCAGUGAUGUAGUAGGCCUGACCACAUUUUAGACGACAAAGUCAGUUUUUGUAAGCACCACAUGAUGCUGAAUGUGUCCUAAUCAGGUCUUAAUCGAGCAUUGGAAAAGGCAACAUUUGUAGCUGGAUUAAUGAUAGGUGUCGAGCCUGUACAAUAAUAAUUACUAAAAAGUCCUAAUUACCACCAUAAUUAAUUAUAGAACAAAUCCGAGUAUUGAAGCAGGGACCCUAGGUGUAUAAUGGGUUACUUGAUUCACCCUGUUUCCGAAAAGUUUGCUUGAUCCGAUAUAUCAGAAUUGUCUAUAAAAAUAUUAAAUUUGCAUACAAUGGCAAGUAGGGUCGAUUCCACAGGGAACGGGUAGAAAGUUGUUUCUUUCCAAGUCAAGGAAACAAAAUUCGGGGAUAUUUAAUGGAAUGAGAAUGAAAAUAAAAUAAACAAAAUUCAGAAACUAACUCAACAAGUACAAUUUACUAAAAAUGCUAAUUAAUAAAAUUCUACCCAAAUGAUCAACUUCUCAGGUAUGGUCCAAUUUAAUGAUCAUUGAUGCAAAGAUAUUUCAUUCAUCCGUCACUAGGUUGGUUAUAACUAUCAACAAGUUCUGACAACCAGUUCUUCCUUACUUUUUCGACAGUCAAGGUACGACCAUUAACUGCUUCUCUAACCAGAAAACAAUCCUAGGUACGACCGUAAGAAUUUAAUUCUCCAGUUGCAUUAAAGUUAGAAGAACCCAACUCUAACCAAUAAACACGUUAAGAGGGUUUAUUUAAACUAAAUCUUACGUUUUCCCAACAUAGAUCCAAUUAUGGUGGUUGUCACUAGUUGUCAACUAAACGAACAAUUACGGAUUCAAUUUAAUUAACGCGACAGUAGGCUAUUACAUUAAAUUAAAUAUCCGGCCGUUGAUACUCAAUUAAUAAAAUAACCAUAAACAAUUGAUCCAUGAAACGCACGAAUAGUGACAAAUUGGAAGAAAUAAUGAAAGUUCGAUAAGAUCUCACAGAUAUUAUGGACCGCGCCUUCGCGUCGACCUUUGGGUAGAGGAGAAACCUAGCCGCUCCUCAUCGUGUUACUCUCGCGUGGUUUAAUUGGUUCCAUCCAUGCAACUGCCAAAGAAUUGGGAAAAAUAAAGUAACGUCGAAAGCAAAAGGAAAAGUCUUGAUUAUCUCUCAGUCUGCGUCCGUACUGAAGCAAAAAGUAAAAAAAAAAGCACUAGAGGAAGUCGGUUGCAAACAAGAGCCAAAGCCGCAAGUAAAAUUGUCUGACAGGAGGAAACAAAGGCUAAUCUAUUAAGCUCGCGUAAUUCUGGCUUUUCCUCUGUUCGCCGCCGAAAAAGAAAAAAGAAAAAAAGUCUGACCGAAGAAAAGAAGUUAAAAACUAAUCUAAUUGAUAUCUCGUGAAUCUGGCUUUUGCCAAUUCUCUCCCCAGUAGCCGCUGACCUCUUUUUUUCCCUCCAAGACGUUGAAGUUCAAAAGCUUUUUAGGAGUAAAAACUCCCUGGGCCCUACUUCCUUUUCGGCCCACCUGAGAGUAGUCGCUUUCCAAUUCUUUUGUUCCUUUAUCAAUCCCGCGGGGUCCGUCUUUUGGGUAUCCUUCUACAGUUUCUGGCGUGGGCACACCUUGAGAUGAAAAGUCUUCUGAAAAUUUGUCCUGUGAGAGCAUUUUUUAAACCAACCACCUACAUUUUACACAAAUAUCAAAUAUGAGUAAAAUCUCAACACUUAGCAGCGUAAGUAACCAAAAUUAUGACCAAAUAAUAGCACAAAAGGUGCCUAAUAGUUGCUCUAUCAAAUCCCCCCACACGUAGACAAUGCUUGUCCCCAAGUAUUCCAAAACUCAGAAAUACAACCAAGAGAGCAAAGGUUAUGCGGAAAUUUACACUAACACAAGCAUCCCGUCUUCCUGAUAAUGUCACCAAAAUUAGAACACAUCGGACAGGUGGUAAUUCAAAGAAAAUGUAUGAAUACUAGGAACGCUCAAAUCAACAUCACAGAAUGGUAUUACCAUAGGCUUGCACGUUUAUCACAUCUCCACCACUCAAAGGUGAACUAAAUAUACUAAUCAAAGGGGCUUUAAUAGGGUUGUAAUGAUGCUUAGGUAGAAGGUGGGAUAAGAAUGUAAGGAUAGGGUGUAAUGUGUCAAGAGAAUGUCCGAUAUCCACCACAUAACCACAAUGCUUCACCAGAGAAAUUUCACAAGCAAGACAUUUUUAUUUGCUAUACCCACUGUGCAAGUGUUGGGAAAUUCUCUCUCUCUCUCUCUAUUUUUUUUUAAUUUUGAACAGGCGGCUUGCAAGGCGUGGGCACGCUAUAUAGGCCGAAGUCUUCUGUUCACGAACUUCUCUUUUUUUUUUUGAGAGAACGUCUUACAAGGCGUGGGCACGCUCUAUAAGACAGAGUCUUCUGCUCACCAGCUAAUUGACGUUUUCUCCUAUUUUUGUUCCAGAUGCACAGAAACGGCACCAUACAAAUUUUACUCUAACAACACUUGCGAUCCUGAAUUUAUUUGCCUUGCACAAACAAUGAGAUUCGGACAUCUCUUAACGACACAAGAUUGGACAAGAAAGUCUAAUAAGGUCCUGGGUUAUCAACCACGACUAACAAACAGAAAAGAAGGAUAAAAACUCAAAUUGGUUCACUAUUGGGAGACAAGGUGAAGGUAUGGUUUGUAGAAAACUAAAAAAAGUUAAAUCCUAAAUGUCCUUAUCAUUUCAGAUGCAUCCAGUUCAAUAAAAUGUGGCCUCGACAUGUAUAAAAUAGCAAGUUCUAGAAUGCCAAUACCAUGUGUGAUACCCACUCAAUUAAACAAACGAAGCAAACAAGAAUAAUGUGCUUGUGCAUGGCUCAAAAGCUCCCAAAAGUUUCAAGAAUGGUUCAAGUCCAGCAUGUUCACAUUCAACAAUAUUGCCGAGAAAAAUCAAAAUGCAUAACUGGCAUAUAUGACCACAUACCUGUGCACCAUGAUUGUGCAGUGCAUCAUAGCAACAUGCUCUGACAGUUAACAAAUAUAGAAAGAAAGUCAACUAACUACACUUUUUUUCUUGUUUUUCAUUUUCUUGUCUCUUUUUUUUUGAGUAAAAGGAAAUAAUAGAAACCAAAAAGAAAUAAUAGAAACCACCUCCCACACCUAAAACCUAUAUUCUUCUCAAUAUAGCAAAGACAAAUGAAGUGCAAGGACAAAGGGAGCGAAACUUCCCUGACUACUGAGAUGGUGCAGCGAGACCCUAAGGAGGAGGAGGAUAUCGCGGCUGGAAUCCAAUAUGAGUAUAGAACGCCGCCUGAUUCUCUGUUUGAAUACGGGCAAAAACAUGUAUCGCUGCAAGACGGUCAUCUAGUCUCUCAACUCACUCCCCCAGCGCAUGGAUAGAAUUCUGGAGGGAGCGAUAUUGGGACUCCCAAGCAGGAGGAGCAUGAUAGGAGGACGGACCCGCCUGAUCCGGGUGGGGUGGUGACCCAGUAGAGGGGAUAGUAGGAGGAACCCGGGGCUGUGGCCUACCCUCGCGUGCGUACGGUCGGCUGUGCGCCUAGAGGGUGCGCGCUGCGAUGGUCGCACGAGCGGGGCUUGGGCGCUGGUCUUUGGCUGGGCAGGUCUGGCACGCUGGCAGAGAGCUGGUCGCGCGCUAAGGGGCACUCCGCGUGCGCUGGUGGUCGCGUAUGUGCAACUGGGUAGGGCCCGCGCAGGUGGGUGCGCUGAGUGGAAUGGCGUGACGAGGCUGCUGAGCACGCUGAAGUGCUGUCGAGCGUAGGAGGAAGGCGCGCCCUGGGCAAGCGUGGCGCGCGCUAAAGCUGCGAGCUGGAGCUGGAGCGCACGCGUUGCUGGAUUACUGUGUGGUGCAUUGGUUGUGCGUGAGGUCAUGAGCUCGGGCUCGCGGCUCGCUUGUUAGGUAGCGCUUUCCCUGUGCGCUGCUGAUCUGGUGGCGGCGCAAUAAUCGUGCGCUGGUGACGGGCGGCGCGAUCGGGGAUGGCGAUGGGCCUUCAAAGGUAGCGAGUAAAAGGGUAGAGGCGUGGCGAUGUGGGAGAUUGCAGUGGUAGGGGGAAGAUAUGGAUGAGCGCGGCCGUGGAGAGGCGACGGCGAACAACGGCGACGGGCGACGGAGCACAAAAGUGGCGGCAGAAUGACAAGAACAGGAAGAAGAAGUAUUGAAACGUAGACAAAAGAAAUUGGGCAGAGCUUAGACAAGACCAGACAAAGAAGAAAAAAAAGUGGAAAAGUAUGGUCUUGGUCAUUAAAAAAAAAGAUUCUUUUGACUUUCGUGAGCGGAAGGGUUGGAAGGCGUGGGCACGCCUUGGAGGAUAUGGUCUUCUGACCACCAUGUCUUAAUAAUGUCCAAAAGAGUUCCUUGCGAGGCGUGGGCAUGCCUUGGAAUUGACAGUCCCCAACUCGUACAGUGCACCUGACACACCCCUUCUAAGGUGCGGGCACGCCUUGGAACCCCUAGUCUUCUGUUCAUCACCACAAAAGCAAUUAAAAUAAAAAAAAUAGAUCUGAAAAAUCGCAAAGUAAUGGAAAAAAAUGACCACAACUAAUACUGUAAUCUGUGGGUUGCCUCCCAAACAGCGCCUUUCUUUAAUAUUUUUGGCUAGACAUGGCAAUCAGCUGUUUAGACCUCAUAACUUGGAUCAUCAAGAGAUAUAACCUCCACUUGCUCACUAUUAAACCCUUCAUAAUAGGGUUUCAGACGGUGACCAUUGACCAUAAACUUCUUCUCCGUCUUCAAGUUUUGGAUUUUCACUGCACCAUAAUGAAAAAUAUUGAAAACGACAAAUGGACCAAUCCAAUACGAACGCAACUUAUCGGAAAAAAGUUUAAAUCUCGAGUGAUAAAAGAGGACUUUUUGCCUUACGACAAAUGGCUUCUUUAAGACUUGUUGGUCAUAGAAGAUUUUGCUCUUUUCUUUAUAAAUUGUUGCAUUCUCAUAGGCUUUAUUUCUUAAUUCCUCCAACUCUUGUAACUAGAGCCUUCUUUGCCUCCCUGCAUCCAUAAGAUCCAUGUUGCACUGCUUAAUUGCCCAGAAAGCCUUGUGUUCAAAUUUUACUGGGAGGUGACACGGCUUCCCAAAGACUAAUCUGUAUAGGGACAUUCCAAUUGGUGUCUUGUAUACAGUGCGGUAGGCCCAUAGGGUAUCUACCAACUUUAAACUUCAAUCUUUUCUAUUGGACCGCACCAUCUUUUCCAGGAUUGACUUAAUCUCCCUAUUCGACACUUUGGCCUGACCAUUCAUCUGCGGAUGAUAGGAUGUGGACACUUUAUGGAGUACGCCAUACUUACAGAACAAUGUAGCGAUCAUUUUAUUGCAGAAAUGGGUGCCCCUGUCACUCAAUAUAGCUCUCGGCAUUCCAAAACGGACAAAAAUGUUAGACUUUAUAAAUUCUGCAAUCACUCUUGAAUCGUUAGUCCAGGUGACAUUUGCUUCCACCUAUUUGAAAAUAUAAUCGACAGCGAGUAGAAUGUAUAAGAAACCAAAAGACGAUGGGAAGAGGCCCAUGAAAUCUAUAUUCCAGACAUCGAAAAUUUCAACAAAUAACAUAGAGGUUUGACUCAUUUGGUCUUUUCGAGAUAUAUUCCCCACCCUUUGACACUUAUCACAAGAUUUACAAAAUGAAUAUGCAUCCUUAAACAGAGUGGGCCAAUAGAAACCACUCUCCAACACCUUACGAGCUGUUCGCUUUGGCCCAAAGUGUCCUCCACAUGCAAAUGAAUGACAAAAAGUUAGAAUAGAGUGAAACUCACCUGCGCUUACACACCUUGUUAGCACUUGAUCCGAACAUUGCCUCCACAGGUAAGGGUCAUCCCAAAUAUAGUGUUUGGCAUCACUUCUCAAUUUAUCUUUCUUAGCCUUCGACCAACCUGCAGGUAAUUGAUUCAUUACCAAAAAAUUGACAAUAUCAGCAUACCAAGAUACCGACGAAUCAAUGGCUAGCAAUUGCUCCUCAAAAAAUGAUUCACUCAACGGUAGAUCCUCCUUAUUUGUAAGCAACCGACUCAAAUGAUCAGCCACUAAAUUCUCGGUCUAACUCUUAUCCUUAAUUUCUAAGUCGAACUCCUGCAGGAGCAAGAUUCACCUUAUGAGCCUCGGUUUUGCAUCUUUCUUCGCCAACAAGUACCUCAGGGCUGCAUGAUCAGAGAAAACAAUUACUUUUACACCCAAUAAAUAUGACCUAAAUUUUUCUAAUGCAAAAACAACGGCUAGUAAUUCUUUCUCUGUCGUGGAGUAGUUAAAUUGGACUCCAUUCAAUGCUCUCGACGCAUAGUAGAUCGCGUGCGCCACCUUGCCUAUCCUUUGCCCCAACACGACUCCUACGGCAUAAUCACUCGCGUCGCACAUGAUUUCAAACGGCAGGCUCGAAUCUGAGGGUUGAAUGACGGGCGGCGAUGUCAACGACUCCUUCAAUUUAUCAAAGGCCACUCUGUACUCAUUGGUAAAGUCGAAUGUCACGUCCUUUUGCAGCAACUUGAACAGGGGUGCUUUGAUUUUUGAGAAAUCCUUGAUGAACCUCCUGUAAAACCCUGCAUAGCCCAAAAAGGAACGUACUUUCCGUACACAUACGGGGUAAGAUAGAGCAGCAAUAAGAUCUAUUUUAGCUUUAUCCACAUCUAUUCCCUUAGCCGACACAACGUACCCUAAGACAAUACCAUAUUCUACCAUAAAGUGACAUUUUUUCAGUUAAAAAUCAGAUUCGUUUCAAUGCACCUUUUCAAAAUUAGAGUUAGGUUAUCAAGACAUUCAUCAAAACUAUCCCCAUAUACACUAAAAUCAUUCAUGAACACCUCAAUAAUCUUUUCUAUAUAUUCAGAGAAAAUACUUACCAUACACCUUUGAAAAGUUGCUGAAGCAUUGCAGAGACCGAAAGGCAUCCGACGGUAAGCGAAUGUACCAAAUGGGCAGGUGAAUGGUCUUUUCCUGGUCCUCCAGUGCUAUUGCGAUCUGAAAGUAUCAUGAAAAGCCAUCCAAGAAACAAUAGUAAACACAACCAACCAAUUUUUCUAUCAUUUGGUCAAUAAAACGGAGAGAAAAAUGGUCCUUUUUCGUCACAAAAUUUAGUCUCCGAUAGUCAAUGCACUGGCGCCAACCAGUAGCCUUCCUGACUGGAACCAUCUCGUCCUCCUGGUUCUCCUCUACAGUCAUUCCCGCCUUUUUCGGGACCACUUGAACAGGACUCACCCAAGGACUGUCCGAAAUAGCAAAGAUAAUCCCCACCUCCAGGAGUUUAACUAUCUCCUUUUUCACAACUUUCAUUAUCAGGGGAUUCAACCUCCGCUGUGUCUGUCUUACCGGUUUCGCAUCAUCUUCGAGUCGAAUCCGGUGCAUGCAUAAGGAUGGACUUAUUCUCUUGAUAUCUGUUAUAUUCCACCCAAUUGCCUCCUUAUGAUUCCUAAGGAUUCGCACCAAUUUGUCCUCUUGACUUGGAGAUAAAUGUUCAGAGAUAAUCACCGGAAGCGUCCCCCGAUCUCCUAGAAAUGCGUACUUUAGAUGCUUCGGGAGAGGUUUAAACUCUAACUCUGGUGCCUACACAACUGAAGGAAGCAACUUUGUCUGAAUUUCUGACACAAAAAGAGAAGUAAACUCAUACCUUGGGGAAAUGGGUGGCAGUAAGUGUAAUGCUUCUACUGUAUAGUGCAAUUCAUCCCUCAUGUCCACAUUAAGAGCUAAACCCAAUUCAAGAGAUUUGGUCAAGGUCACUUCCAAUGCGUCUUUACUAUCCAAUUCAAAAACUUUCUGUACAAUGGGUUCAAUAACACUCAAAGCAAAGACUGAGUUAGAUUCCUCCGAAUAUUUCAUUACCUCAAAAAUAUUGAAAUUUAUCAUUUCGCCAUCAAAUUUCAUUCAUAAAAUACCCUCAUUCUCAUCUAUUUUAACCUUAAUAGUGCUAAGAAAUGGUCUACCUAACAAAAUAGGUGACGAAUUUAACGACCUCUCAUCUCCCAUAUCCAGGAUAUAAAAAUCUGUUGAAAAAACUAACUCAUUUAUCUGAACCAAGACAUCCUCAACUAGCCCCUCUGGAUAAGCAUUGGUGCGGUCAGCUAGUUGGAUUAUGAUGGCCGUUUCUUUUAAUGGCCCAAGAUUUAGAGAAGUAUAAAUGAUUUUUGGCAUCACAUUAAUUGAAACCCCUAAAUCCAACAUUGCUCUUCUAAUCGGUGUAUUUUCUAUUUUGCAAGGGAUCGUGAACAUACCUGGAUCUCCACACUUGAGUGGGAGCUUUCUUUGGAGUAUAGCUGAUACGUUUUCUCCCACGACUACUCUUUCAUUCCCUCUCAACUUUCUCUUAUGGGUACAUAAAUUCUUGAGAAAUUUCACGUACUUUGGUACCUGCUUAAUUGCCUUCAAUAAGGGAAUGUUGAUCUCUACUUUUUAGAAUACGUCCAGGAUCUCUUUUUCCUUCUCCACCUUCUUCGUCUUCUCCAACCUGCAUGGAAAAAGGAGAUAAAUUAGAUUUAAUGGGUAUUGAUGGUGUAAGUGCUACCUCAGGAUCUCCACGAAUGCGUCCUUUUUCUUCCAUCUCCUUCUCGAUCUCGUCUUCACUUUUGCUCUUUAGGUUCGUGGCCUUAAGCCCCUCAACUUCCUUGCUACUCCUCAGUGUCAUGGCACUAACAUUUUUUGGAUUUGUCUCAGGUUGCGAUGGCAACUUUUCAACAUUUGGGACUCUAAGCGAUUAAUUGCAGUUGCCAUGUGGCUUAUUUGAGUUUUCAGAUUUUUCAUGCCCGAUCUAGUUUUUUGCUGGAAUUGAGCAAUGUUCGUGAUCAAGGAUCUAGUUUCUUGCUGGAGCUGAGUAGUACUCAUGAUCAGACUCUUGACAAUAUCCUCCAAAGAAUCUCCUGAAUUGGGAGGCGAAGGUUGAGAUUUGGGUUGCCAUGAUUGUUGAAAUCCCAGUGGACGAUUUGAGAAUGAAUUCUGUGGUCUGUUUCCAUAGCUGAAGUUGGGGUGAUCUCUCCAACCCGGAUUGUACGUGUUGGAGUAUGGAUCGUACUGCCUACGAGGUUCGGGCACACCUCCGGUCAUGUUCACUUGUUCAGCUCCCUCCUCUUGCAACAUGGGGCAUGAGUCAGUGGGGUGGCCCACGUUUUUGCAGAUUCCACAGACCUUUGCUUGGUACACGUUCCCCACAACUAAUUAUCAAACAAAAGAUGUUAGCUCCGAUAGCUGCUGCUGAAUGGACGUCAUCUCUAUCUCGUUAAACCUACGGGUAGGGUUACUCUCACGGAAGCCAAACUAUUGAGAGUUUUCUGCCAUUGCUUCAAUAAGCAACCAUGCUUCUCUAGGUGUCUUGUUUGCCAGUGUUCCACCACUCGCAGCAUCAAUGAUACUUCUGUCAGAUGACUGAAGUCCCUCAUAGAAGUAUUGGAUCAAUAGUUAUUCACUAAUUUGAUACUGUGGGCAUCUAGUGCACAACUUAUUGAAUCUCUCCCAAUAGUCAUAUAGGGAUUCUUCAGGGUACUGCUUAAUACUGCAAAUCUCUUUUCUCAGACUUGCAACCCGAGAUACAGGGAAAAUUUUUUUAAACAAUUUCUUUUUCAGUUGGGCUCAUAUUGUGAUACUACUCGCAGGUAAGUAGUAUAAUCAAUCCUUAGCACUAGAGGAAGUCGGCUGCAAACAAGAGCCAAAGCCGCGAGUAAAAUUGUCUGACAGGAGGAAACAAAGGCUAAUCUAUUAAGCUCGCGUGAUUCUGGCUUUUCCUCUGUUCGCUGCCGAAAAAGAAAAAAGAAAAAAAGUCUGACCGAAGAAAAGAAGUUAAAAACUAAUCUAAUUGAUAUCUCGUGAAUCUGGCUUUUGCCAAUUCUCUCCCCAGUAGCUGCUGACCUCUUUUUUUCCCUCCAAGAUGUUGAAGUUCAAAAGCUUUUUAGGAUUAAAAACUCUCUGGGCCCUACUCCCUUUUCGGCCCACCUGAGAGUAGCCACUUCCCAAUUCUUUUGUUCCUUUAUCAAUCUCGCGGGAUCCGUCUUUUGGGUAUUCUUCUACAGUUUCUGGUGUGGGCACGCCUUGAGAUGAAAAGUCUUCUGGAAAUUUGUCCCGCGAGAACAUUUUUUAGAUCAACCACCUACAUUUUACACAAAUAUCAAAUAUGAGCAAAAUCUCAACACUUAGCACCGUAAGUAACCAAAAUUAUGACCCAAUAACAACACAAAAGGUGCCCAAUAAUUGCUCUAUCAAUUAAUCUGAAACUGCUCUCUUUGGAGGAACAUCCAAGGAUGGUCGCUUGCAUCAUCAUCCCUUUGCAUCAUCUAAAUCUCCAUUUUGGAAUAAGCACACACAUAGAAUGUGCCAAAAGCACUAGUUAUAUUUAAUCUGGUAGGAUUGUUGUAAUCUAGGAAGUACCUGUAGAAGAUACAGAAUGAAAGCGUGAAGCUCUUUAUUUUAUUGCAUCAUACAAAUCGAUUCUUUUUUUACUUUCCCUGCAGAAAAAUGACAUGCAUGUAAUCGUAGACUCUGUAUGGAUGAUGCAGGUGACAAGGCAACUUGUUUUUUUGGCUAGGGACAAGGCGCCUUGUACUUUCCAAAUUCAAUGCAAAGAUAUUAGAUGUUGAUGUAAUUGAUACACAAACACAUAAAAGUACGGAAAUUUGUAUUGCGCCAAUUUAAGUGAGAAAGUGAGGUUGAAGAUGAUGAUCUUGACACAUAUUUGAUACUAUCCUUGAGAUGUUAUUUGCUUUCACUAUAUAAAGCAAAGUAUUUGUUACAAGGUUUACCUCUAAAAUACAAUAGGAUUUAGAGAAUCUUGAUAUCAAAUCUCAAGUUUUUUCUUUUACAAGGAAAAGUUCAAAACUCUUUCAUUUGCCAGAAACUUGUCAUUUUUAUAGUAAAAGACAUAACUCAAGAGGCGCAGAUUAAUCAACCACUAUCUCUCACAUUUAUAGGCAUUAAGAGACAGCAAUUACGUUCCUUUAAUGGAUAGAACAUGCCAAAAAUGUUUCAUAAAUUUUUUGGCUUUUAAGAAGAAUCCACAAACGGAUCCACUUCCUAUCGCUGCAAAUCCGGUCGCAGAUCCAUUGUGUUGACUUACCCUUUGUUUAGAUAUGUCAAAAAAUUUUUACUUUCCUCAUUUCAACAAAUCUUAUUUCUAUUUUAUUUCACAAACUAUUCCAACAUUAGACUUCAUAGUAUAUACAUUGUGAUAAUGUGAUGGAACGGACACACUGGCUCCAAAAGAAAUUUGGGUUUAAGACAUUUACGUACCUCCCUUUUGGUUUGACCAAAUUAUUAAUAUGUUCAAUUUUCUGUGCAGUCAGCAAUAAUUUGUUGCAAAAAACUAGUCUAUUGUAGUAUUUCCAGCUACAAGGUGAAGAAAGGGUUCAAUCAAUGCAUCCAUCACUCCUAGCAAUAACUUGCUAAAUCUUCUUACCUCCGGAUGAAGCUAAAAUUUCAUUUAAAAGGCAAAAGGGAAAUUACCAAGGAAGAUUAUUCCUCUUCUGCAUCCAGAUAUAACAAGUUGGAUGACAGGUUUUCAAGUAAAACGGUAGACUUACAAUCUUGAACGUUUAUGGUUUGCAUAUUCACACACCAAAAGCAUACAUCUAUAGAUACAAUCCUAUUCAACAGUGGCAUUGCCAACGAUUUGUAGAGCAUGAGUCUGACCUUCAUUACCAGCUGUGUGGAAUGACAUUGUUGAAAACAUCCAGAUCAACUGAUAUUCUUGACUUCCAGGCUUCUGCAGGUAUAUUGAUCAUGAUGCAACUUGUCUAGGUUUAACCAACUAUAUUACAGCAAUGAAAGACCUCUAGUUCUAGUCAUCCUGUUCAUGAAAAGUUGUCUCUUUCUUAUCUUCUUUGCCAGGACCAUAAGCCUUGCUGCAAAUGAGGAAAUAAAUCGUGUUAGGCACACUUAAGCCAGCAAGUACCCAAUAGUAAUAAUCAUAGUGACCCUUAUUGAUGUCGGUCGAAAUCCAGCUUUCUUUUCCUCCCAGUUUUGAGAGUUUGUCAACGGCGUUCAUAAGAAAACUUGAAACAAGAUUUGCCGCAGAUACCCCAAGUAAGGAAAGAGUGGAAGAUAUACUUGACAUGCUUCUUGGAAACUCAGAAUAAUAGAACUCAUUCUGUGCAACUAUAUUUGCAGUUACACCAGCACCGAUCAGGAAAGAUUGGGGAAGAAGCCAAAGUAAUGACAUGUCCACCACUGCAUCUGAAUCAUCUGAAUAUCCUUCCCUGAUAGCCAGACUACGUCGUUUAACCUCCACUGUUGCUGCCACUGUCAUGCCUAUGAAAGAAAGGGCAAUUCCAAUUCCCAUUCUUUUCCUUGUCGAGAGACGAACAGGUCUCCCCAAAAUUCUUGAUGCAACAGGCAGGAUUAUCUGAAGAUAAAAAGGUAUCCAUAGUACUGCACCGACAAUGGCAAACAUACUACAAGAACCUGCUGGCAUUUCAAAGUUUGGACCAAAUUUUCGGUUCAUGGACUUUGCUUGAAGUACAGAAAAUGAGCCCUGGCUGCUAGUUACUAACAUUAUCAUUCCUGUGGACCAUAAGGGGAUGACUCUGAGAAUCGACUUCAGGUCCUCAACUUGAUUUACUGUGCAAAGACUCCAGGGAUCUGCCGCUUUUCCAUCUGUUGUCAAGUCUUUCUCAGGGUCUAUGAUGAUGCAAGCUUUAUUUAAGAACCUGGAAGACAAAUUAUUGAAGCUUCCAUAAGAGAACAUUGUUUAAAUGACCUACUAGGAACUUCUCGCUUGAAUUCUGUGACUCAAAAAAUGUUAUUACAAAUUGUUGAAUUCGCCAACAGAUGAAAAAUAAAAUAGGAUUAAUUGCAAACCAAUUAUAGCUACCAAAUACAGGCAACCUUGCAUAAUCAAAAUAAGUUGCUAAGAACUUGAAAUUAUUCAUAUAUAUGAAUCAAGAAAGAAAUACAGCCCUAGCCUGCAAGCGGAAUUAAUCAUUUUGGAUAAGAGAACAUUAAGACCACACCUUAGUUUUUCACUUGGAAGACAAAUUGAUGGACCCCUGUGGUGAUGGCACAGCAAUUUUGAGCUCUCUGUUGACAAUUCUAUAUGCCGUUUCCUAUAAGAGGCUACAGCCACUUGAAGCAUUUCGACAAUUAAACUUGAUUUAGCCUUCAACUUAACAUAUAAGUGCGAAGCCAGGGAGAAUGACAGAGUUGACAACAACAUGAGCAUGACUGGAAUGCCAAAACCAACUUGCCAUCCCAAGCUUUCUUGUGCGUAGACAAUGCAAGUAUAAGCAAUUAAAAUAGAAAUUGUGCAUAACGCAUAGUACCAGCUGAAAUAGGACUCCAGAGCCCGUCCAUUGUUGUGGCCACCUGCUUUUUGUAACUGAUCAGCACCAAAAGCUAAGGAUGAAGACGUAAUUCCUCCAAAUCCAAUAGACAUGAGUCCAAAACAAGAACACAAGAGAAAGAGUUGAAAACUAGUCGCAGAGCUACAAAUUUUAUUCGAUUCAUGACAUGGAGGCGGCUUUGCUUGUGGAAUCAUA
This 63434-nucleotide long non-coding RNA is filed under the name Coffea arabica (coffee). RNAcentral's name for it is "long non-coding RNA (CARA_LNC005756)". The stretch from base 59381 to 59487 matches the Rfam family "Plant small nucleolar RNA R71". Lineage: Eukaryota; Viridiplantae; Streptophyta; Magnoliopsida; Gentianales; Rubiaceae. The record is from RNAcentral.